CUUUUAAAAAGUUAUAUAUAAGUCCUUUAUAGCAAAUAUUAAAAUAUUACAAAUUUUAGUUUUAGCAGGGCCAAAUUGAAUUUUUUUUUCGUAAAACUUGUGUUCCAAUUUUUAUUCCAAACCUCUUGACCAUUUUUCUUCUACUCCUAUAGUAUUGUUCAUUCUUGAGCACAUUAUCACUAUUAUUGCUAGUAAUGAAUGACCAAUGAUCCUAACAAACUCUUUCUCUUACUAUCCGAGAUUUUUUUUUUAUACCGAAUCUAAAUCUUAGACCCCUUGAACCUUAAUUCCUGGCUUUGGCCUCCCCCGAAUCUUAAUUCCUAGUUUCGUCCCUGUGAAUUUGUAUUAUAAAACAAUAAAAAGAAAACGAAUAUAAUCUCUUAAAAUUUCUGAUCAUCUUCGACCAUUUUCACCCCUUAACUUAAAAGUGAUGUUUAUAUAUAUUGUAGGGAGAUAAAGUGAUUUUUUAUCGUGUUUUUCAUUUAGUUUAUUAUUAAUUUCACAUUAAAAUUGUAUUUAUUUUUGUUAAAAUAUGAUUUGUCAAAAAUCCAACCGUAUUCCACGGUUUUGACCUCUAAUCGGAUCGAGCUAUUGACUUCAUAAUUCACUAGUUUAAUUUCACGUGUAAUUUAAGUCCAUGUAUAAUUUGAUAUAUCAAUUGAAUAUAUCAAUUAAAUGUACACAUAGUAAAAACAUUAUUCUUCUAUAGAUUAAGAUUUUAUUUGAAUAUAUGGGUUUCUUAUUUUUUAUAUCUCUUCAUUAACUUAAGUUGUUUGUACCUGAGAGUAAUCAAACAUAUAGAAUGGAACUAUAUUUCAUAUUUAAGUUAUUUUUUUGAAAAAAGAUCGAUGAAUCAUCUUAUAACUGAAAUUUGCUAUUUAAUCAAAUUAGGAAUGUCGAACAAUGAUCAAAGCAUGGACCGAACUUUAAUGCUUCAUUUCCAUGGAGAGAAUAGAAGAGCAAUGAAAUUAAAGAAAAGAAAGUAAUUUUUUCUCAUUCUAUUCAGACGAAGGGAAGAGAAAAUGGAAUUUUCUUCUUCCAAAAGUGACCAUUUUGGAAGAUUAAUUUCUCUUCAUUUCUCUUUCUUUCUCUCCUUAAGUUUUGAUCCACGAUAUAUAGUGACUACUUUUCUCUUCUAUUUAACUUUAGGGCUUGUUUGAUUCAUGCGUAAAAAUGAAAAAUAAAAUUUAACUGCUUUGGAACGGAAAAUAAAACAACGAAUCAUUCAAAAAUAUUUGGCUCAUUAAUUACUAGAAUGAAAUUGGAAUAAAAAUCAAGAAUUUUGAAAGAGGGUUUUGAUUAAGAGAGAAGAGAGUAAUGAACGGAAAAAAAGGAAAGGUGUUUGUGAGAGAGGAUUUUGAGUAGUUUACUUUGAAAUUCGCUAAUCCGAAAUUCAAAGUCAGAUUGAGUGAUAAAUGGAUCUAGCCAUUUUCAUUUCAAGGUGAAAUAGGAAUCGAAAUUUGAUUUCUAUAAAACAAAUAACAACUAUCGAAAUGAAAACCGAACACUUAUUUGAUAGAAUCUCUCUCUCUCUCUCUCUCAAAGAAGAUCACUUAUUGCAGUUGAAGUGGUUACUUAGUCAUGCACGUGGUAAAAUGCGUAGGUGUAGCGCAUCACUAUGUCAAAGAGCCUCUCCUUCUCCAUCCUCCUAGUCGUAGCUUAUGCCGCCCCAUGCUUAUCACAUGCUAAAGAUUAUUUGGGGGCGCCUAUUUAUGGAUAAAAUUAGACCUUUUAAAAGUAUUCUCAGCUUAAUUAUUUGGCGUGGGCAAUAACCAGUGCUUGGGAUCUUUAAUUAAUUAAUUUAUGUGCUUGCAUGUGCACAUAUACAUUACAAGUAAAUUCCAUGUGAUUGCAUGUGCACAUAUACAUUACAAGUACCAACGUGCUCGUAUGUAAUAGUGCGUUUGAUUAUUUAGAGACAUACAAGCUAAUGAAAUGAAAUGCGUCUUCAAAUGGUUAUAGAUACAAUAAUAAGCAACAACAUGCAGUGAAAGUAACAAUUAAUUCCAAAAGUUAUUUUCUAACAAGUUCAUUAAUAAGUUUUUAUUUAUUGGUCGAUCUAGGAUCAGGCAUGCAUGUAAAGUACGUACCACGUACAACAAGUUGCACCAUAAUGCAUGGCUCCACCCAACCUCAUGUAAAUAUCCAAUAUUUUAUUUUAUUUUUUUUUUGAUUUUCAAAAACUUAUAUUUUGUCCUCUUAAAAUUUUAAAAAUAUUUUUAGAGGAGUGGUCAAUAUUUGCAUACACUUAAGGGGAUGUUGAGUUGUCAUAUCCCAGUUGACUUAAGUGGUUGAUACUCGUGUUCCCUUACAGUUCGAUGACCUAUUGCUCAGUGUGGCCCAAGGGGCGGAGAUUGUCGGCCAUUUGCCGAUGGUUGGCUAUUAAUCAUAGUCGCAUCGAUCGCCACAGCUGACAGCAUUUCACGAGCACUAGCGGUCUGAUCCCCUGCGGGAGAGUGUUCUUUUCCGAAAAAGUGGUUAGUUGCCAACCUGUGAGCCCAGAAGUUUAUGCUAGGGUUAUAUGCCAAUUAGAGCGAUGUGGCAUUUGCAUGAGAUUCUUAGAUUGAUACGGCGGCAUAAAUUGGGUACAUUUGGACUUUUCGUCCGGUUGCUACUGUAGACUCUUCUUUACCUAUACUUGGUUACCAGUGAGUAUACUUGUCUUUGUCGACUUGUGGUACCCACUGGGAAGGAGAGAUGUGUUUACAUAUUCUCAUCCCCUACUAUUUUUUAGGUGACACAGAUGAGGUUGGUCGGGACGCAGCGUGAGGCCGUAGCUAGUGCACGGUCAUAGAGGUCUCAAUCUAUGGUAUAUGUUUUAAAUUACUUCAUAUAUAAUAUUGGACAUAUUUGUGAUAGUAUAGUUCACCCCUACACCUGUUAGUAGAUGAUAUAUGUGGUUCAGUUGAUACGUUAUACUUGCGAAUUUUUGGAUGAUGUAUUUAUGAGUUUUGGAUAUUGAUGAUUUUGAAAUUUUUGUAGCUUAGGUGCGUCGAUUGAGCAGGCGUUGUGGGUGGAGAGAGGAGAUGUAUCGGUCCAUGAGCGGGCUCAGGUGCCGGGUCAGAGUUAGGAUAGGAAGCGCCCGGUUCCAAACGAUGGAGGGCAGUCGAGCAGCAAGCGUCCGCCGGGGCCUCCACGAUCACGCACUCAGGGACAUGGGUUUUCGGGGCGACAACGUUCUGGGGGAUCUCGUCAGCCGAGACAGUCACAGGGGACUCCGCAGUGCGUGAUUUGUUGGGGACCACAUUGGCCUCGGACGUGUGAGCAGCGAGAGGACCGAUGCUUCAGUUGUGGACAGCCUGGACAUAUGAGAGCAGCUUGUUCCCGAGCAGCAUCAUCAGCACCUUCGGCGAUGUCAGCACAGCCGGCACCCCAGCAGUCCUUUGGAGCACAGCAGGACUCGAGUGGCAGAGUGUACGCAGCUCAGGUGGACUACAGCAGCCGAUCGGGUGGUGGCAGAUAUAAUUUUGAUUUCUGGUAUUAGAACUCAUACCUUAUUUGAUACUGGUACAUCACAUUCUUUUGUUAACCGAGCAUUUGCAUCAUUGUAUGGUCUAGAGUUAGGGCCGCUGUUAUAUGCACGAGAGGUGCAGAUUCCUGAUCAUGUGUUGCAUGUGGCGGAGUGUUGUUGGGCUUGUCCAGUGCAGUUGGGCCCUUGGAUUAUGCUUGCAGAUUUGUUGGUCUUAGGGCAGCUACAGGACUUCGAUGUUGUGCUUGGCAUGGAUUGGCUGGCGCGGUACUAUGCGACGAUUGACUAUGGAGCGAGGACAGUGACGUUCCACGAGCCAGGCCAGGAGGAGUUCACGUACAAAGGCUGUAGAAGUACGUUUAUUUUGAAAAUUUUUUGUAUUUGUGGCGGGUCUGUUACGUUCCUGAGUUAAGGUUUAUAAAAAAGAAAAGAUAAUUUUUUACUAACUCUAAUUUAUAAAAAUAACCCGAUGUUAAUUGGAUUUUAAAAAGGGCUCUCAGGACGUGACACCUCCAACGAGCCAUAGUUGGAGAUCUCCUGCUAAAGUCUUAUCCCAGAUUUAAGUAGAUGAUAAAACUUUACAAGGGCAUUUUAAAAUGUAAAUUGAUUGACACUAUCUACUGGCAAUUAGAUAAAAUGCAAAGGUUACAAAUUAAUUUAUUAAAUUAUUUUAAAAAUAAGACUUUGAAAUUUACGCGGUUUAGUGAUAGAUUACCAAAUUUAUAGUUGAGAUUGCUUCGAGUGGAGUGGCACUGAAUUUUAAGAAAAUGUGCAAUUUUGGAAUCAAUUUUCAACAAAACUCUCUCUUCUAUAAGCGGUAUAUAUAUAGAUAAUAUAUAAUAUCAGUUGAGUUAGAAUACUAUCGGUAGCAAAUAGGUUUUGCUGCUAUCGAUUUAUUUUCAAGAAUAAAAUCUCUAAAUUGACAAUCGGCACCGUGCAAUAUGAUCUACCCCAUUUAAAGUAUCUAGCAAUCAAAUUUUAAAUUGUUUCCUCAUCAGUUGACUCAAUUAUCAAAAUGUCGCGAAAUUUAUACUUUUACUAGUUGAUACGAGACAUUUUCUCGUUUAACGAUAUAAAGCAAUUCAAAUCAGAUAAAUUUUUGUUAGAAAAUUCUUCAAAUUAUUUAAAAUAGAAUCUACACUCUUGAUCUUGAUUGCAAUAAUUCUAUUAUUGUUUUUUGAAGGAUAUAUAUUUUCAACAGUUUAUUUUUGUGUCCAUUUGAUGCACAAAAAAAUAAUAUCAGAAAAAAUAAAAUUUAAUCUCUAGAUACUUUAAGUUGUUUAAAUGUAAUACACGGAAUUUUUGCAAUUGCGAAAUUCGAGUGUGAGCAAUGAAGUGUGGAGCUAUUCUACAUGUUCUAAAUGACUUGGACAAGUUUUUGAAUAAGUUAGAGAGUGCUUGGAAGGCUAGAAGCAUGAAAGUGCUUUACUCAGGCGAAAACCAGCUUUUUCUACUUGUUGUACCGGUACAGCCAUUAGCUUGUACCGGUACACAAUGCAGAAACGUGGCAGCUUAGGUAUUUUGGUAAUUUCACACUUGAUCUCUAUCCUUAAGGCCCCAGCUCGACCAGGGAUACUCAGUGGAGCCUGCUGGAGUUCAGAGGAGCUUUCUCCACCUUUUUUUUCUCUCUCUCUCUAGGGUUUUUCUCUCUCUACUUAGAAUUCGUCGUUUUGCGCCGUUUCCGCGCCGCGCUUGUUGCUCGCUGGUUUGGCGACUUAAAGGAGGCUUCCAGCACGUGGGAAAGAGGAGCUUUGCUGUGUUUCUAUGAGGUUACUGCUAGGGGAAGCUGAAUUUCAGUUUUAGAGAGGUAAUCAACUCGAUUUCUCUCUAGUUUCCGGUUUUAUAUUGAAUUUGGACAUCUUUUCGUGUUGGUGCUUCGAACUGGAUUAGGAGGUGUUUACAGCAGUAAAGAGGAGCUUUGUUGGCUGCUAGUUAUCCAUUUAAACUCUGUGGAACUUGCUUUAAAGCUUCAAAUGGCUAAUUAGUAAACUAUACCUCAAUUUCGGAACUAUAUGACGUUUACUUAGUCGAAUUGAUGCAAUUUGGAAUUUUUCUUCGCAGCAGGUCUUCGAGUCUCGUUGAGCUGAACUUGUACUCUUAGAAGCUGGUUUGGAAGGUAUUCUAACCUGAGGUAAGCAGGGAUUUCAGUUAGAAAACUGAAUUCGCAAGAUUUCGACUAUAUUUGCUAAUAUAUGAUGAUUUUGAUGUCGUGUUGGUGUUGAUCGCAGCGGGAGUUCGACCGACCUUUGCGUCAUCCUUGAUUGGCUUUGGGAAGCCUUUAGAGACUUAAUUGGAGGUACUAAAGUGAACCAAAACAGCGAUUUAUGUUACUACUUGAUACGAGAUGUGAAUUGAGCCGAAAUCGGACAUUUCGGCCGUAGAUUUAAUCCAAUCUUGACGUUUGUUUUUCAGCAGCAUUGGAGCUUCGUUGAGCCGAUUGUGGGACUUCUUGUGAAUAGUUGGAGCCUAGUACUAGGUGGGUUUGACCUAACCAGAGCAAGUGGAGCUCCCCUAUGUUCUAUAUGUAUCUACAGAAUAGAAUAAUCGCAUAGGUGCAUUGAGUGCAUAUGUGAUUGAUAGAGAAUUGGAAACAUAUCAUUGUGAUAUUUGAUGCUUAAGUAGAAUGAAAUCUCUAUAAAGUAGAGAACAUAUAUGCAUGAAAGUAUUUAUAUUCAUAUUCAAUUCAGUUGAAUGACUUAUGAACAAUAGAGAACAAUGACAUGCUCUUGACUCUAAAGUAGAGAACUAUGACUAUGUUGAUAGUGUCAUAAUAGUGGAAAGAUUAUAAUGCCAUGUGAUUUAGCAUUACCCUUACAUGUUUACAAUCUAGUGGAUACUAGUUCUUGUUACUAUUUGUGUAUUGAAAUUCCGAUCUGAGGAUCGAAGGUAAGAAUUGGCAAAUGAAAAUAUGAAAAUUGAGACACGUGGAUAAUGGACUUUGCUUGCUUGCCAUCGUGCUCAUUCGCACACGCUUGUGAGGGUAGCUCCCUACAAGCCGGCACUCCGGAGUUGGCCUACGCGACAGUUGCUCGCCCGUGCGGGAUUGGGUGCCGAAGUGGAUUGCCGUGGGGAGUGUAUACUACCACGGGGCCAUUAGGCGCGGCGCAAGCUGGACUACCUUGGGUAGGUCCCUGUGAAUGGAAGGAAAGUGCUUAGAAAUUUGGACAGUGAUGAAUGAUUACCAGUUACAGUGUACAGUAGUUACUUACACAUUUAUGCUUAUGUGCAUGCUUAUCAUAGUUGCUUUGCUUCUAUUAUUCAGUUGAUUCAUUACUGUUGAAGCCAUGAUUACAUGUUGCUUACAUGCUCAUUACCUGUUAGCAUUGCAUAAUUAUAUAUCUUGCAAUUACUGCUUUCGCUUUCAUUUAAUACAUCAUGAGCCUAGUGGUGUAAUUCGCCGAGGCUAGCGGCUUACCCACUGGGAACUAUUGUUUAUAGUUCUCACGCCCUUUUGGUGGUUGUUUUUACAGAGCCAUCUGCAGGAAAGGUUAGGGAUCGUGGCAAGGGAGUCACGUCUAGCUAGACUUUGCUAGGAGCGUGCUAGUCUAUCACCUUGCUACUCGGGCUACGGCCGAGGGUGAUGUCCAUUGUAUAGAGUGACUACCUUUGUACAGAUAUUUUUGUGUACCCUGUGUUGUAUAUGAGUUGUAGAUCCAGAUGUUUUAGUUCAUACUUCUUCUCCUUUUGCUGAGAUUUUGGAUUGUAUAAUCUUUGUUCAUUUACUGACAGUAUAUCGUCUUAUACAUUUCUCUGAUAUCAGGAUAGGACUCUCUUUGUUUUACUUCCUAUCGACUUGCUUUCUUGUAGACGCCUUAUAUACUGCAGGUGUAUGGCGGGUCUGUGCACGUGCCGGAUAUGCUUCCGCUGGUACCCGGGCGUGACAGAUUAUAGUGGUAUCAGAGCCUAGGGUUGAGUCUUCGUAGACCUAGCAAACCUUAGGCUGGUUGGACUAUAAGGAUAGGCUCGCGAGAGACGAUGUCUAGUUGAGGUUGUCGUUAGCGAAAGUACUUUGAUUGGGUACUUAUGAACUCCGAAUAGUAGGAGUUUGAUCGGGAUGUGCAAUUACUAACUUUGCAGAGGGUCACGUUGGCGGCCGACAACGUGACAUCGGAAGUUAGUACGCGUUACAUUUCAUUACUUUCGCUUGAUUAGNNNNNNNNNNNNNNNNNNNNNNNNNNNNNNNNNNNNNNNNNNNNNNNNNNNNNNNNNNNNNNNNNNNNNNNNNNNNNNNNNNNNNNNNNNNNNNNNNNNNNNNNNNNNNNNNNNNNNNNNNNNNNNNNNNNNNNNNNNNNNNNNNNNNNNNNNNNNNNNNNNNNNNNNNNNNNNNNNNNNNNNNNNNNNNNNNNNNNNNNNNNNNNNNNNNNNNNNNNNNNNNNNNNNNNNNNNNNNNNNNNNNNNNNNNNNNNNNNNNNNNNNNNNNNNNNNNNNNNNNNNNNNNNNNNNNNNNNNNNNNNNNNNNNNNNNNNNNNNNNNNNNNNNNNNNNNNNNNNNNNNNNNNNNNNNNNNNNNNNNNNNNNNNNNNNNNNNNNNNNNNNNNNNNNNNNNNNNNNNNNNNNNNNNNNNNNNNNNNNNNNNNNNNNNNNNNNNNNNNNNNNNNNNNNNNNNNNNNNNNNNNNNNNNNNNNNNNNNNNNNNNNNNNNNNNNNNNNNNNNNNNNNNNNNNNNNNNNNNNNNNNNNNNNNNNNNNNNNNNNNNNNNNNNNNNNNNNNNNNNNNNNNNNNNNNNNNNNNNNNNNNNNNNNNNNNNNNNNNNNNNNNNNNNNNNNNNNNNNNNNNNNNNNNNNNNNNNNNNNNNNNNNNNNNNNNNNNNNNNNNNNNNNNNNNNNNNNNNNNNNNNNNNNNNNNNNNNNNNNAUAUACAUGAAAGUAUUUAUAUUUAUAUUCAAUUCAGUUGAAUGAUUUAUGAACAAGUGUAGGAUGCACUUAUAAAGUAGAGAACAAUGACAUUCUCUUGACUCGACUCUAAAGUAGAGAACUAUGACAUGCUUAUGACUAUGUUGCUAGUGCCACAAUAGUGGAAAGAUUAUAAUGCCAUGUGAUUUAGCAUUACCCUUACAUGUUUACAAUCUAGUGGAUACUAGUUCUUGUUACUAUUUGUGUAUUGAAAUUCCGAUCUGAGGAUCGAAGGUAAGAAUUGGCAAAUGAAAAUAUGAAAAUUGAGACACGUGGAUAAUGGACUUUGCUUGCUUGCCAUCGUGCUCAUUCGCACACGCUUGUGAGGGUAGCUCCCUACAAGCCGGCACUCCGGAGUUGGCCUACGCGACAGUUGCUCGCCCGUGCGGGAUUGGGUGCCGAAGUGGAUUGCCGUGGGGAGUGUAUACUACCACGGGGCCAUUAGGCGAGGCACAAGCUGGACUACCUUGGGUAGGUCCCUGUGAAUGGAAGGAAAGUGCUUAGAAAUUUGGACAGUGAUAAAUGAUUACCAGUUACAGUGUACAGUAGUUACUUACACAUUUAUGCUUAUGUGCAUGCUUAUCAUAAUUGCUUUGCUUCUAUUAUUCAGUUGAUUCAUUACUGUUGAAGCCAUGAUUACAUGUUGCUUACAUGCUCAUUACCUGUUAGCAUUGUAUAAUUAUAUAUCUUGCAAUUACUGCUUUCACUUUCAUUUAAUACAUCAUGAGCCUAGUGGUGUAAUUCGCCGAGGCUGGCGGCUUAUCCACUGGGAACUAUUGUUUAUAGUUCUAACGCCCUUUUGGUGGUUGUUUUUAUAGAGCCAUCUGCAGGAAAGGCUAGGGAUCGUGGCAAGGGAGUCGCGUCUAGCUAGACUUUGCUAGGAGCGUGCUAGUCUAUCACCUUGCUACUCGGGCUACGGCCGAGGGUGAUGUCCAUUGUAUAGAGUGACUACCUUUGUACAGAUAUUUUUGUGUACCUUGUGUUGUAUAUGAGUUGUAGAUCCAGAUGUUUUAGUUCAUACUUCUUCUCCUUUUGCUGAGAUUUUGGAUUGUAUACUCUUUGUUCAUUUACUGACAGUAUUUCGUCUUAUACAUUGCUCUGAUAUCAGGAUAGGACUCUCUUUGUUUUACUUCCUAUCGACUUGCUUUCUUGUAGACGCCUUAUAUACUGCAGGUGUAUGGCGGGUCUGUGCACGUGCCGAAUAUGCUUCCGCUGGUACCCGGGCGUGACAGAUUAUAGUUGUUUAAAUCAUGUUCAACAAUUAAUAUCAAUCAUCAAUUCGGAGACUCUAUCAUCGAUAUAUAUAUUGGAUAAGUUAUCUAUGAUAAGUUAUUCUGGCAUCCAAACAGGGCCUUAGGCUCGAGUUCUAAUAGUUCUUAAUAAUUUUUCAUAGUUAAUAAUUAUUAAAAUUAACAGACAUCAAGAAGGAAUGAUUGAAAUAAUUAGGGAAAUUGCAUAUUACGUUCUCAAUCUUUAAUUUACUGCAAUUAAUUUGUUGCUCGAACUUUUAAAAUUAUUGCAAUCAAAUCCUAUAACUCAAUUUAGUUGACUAAAUAUUAAUAUAUCGUUAAUGUAGAGAUGACAUAAUAAUGUUAAAAAUGAUUAUGCGCAAAUAAUUAAGAUGUCACAUUAUUUUUAAUCAAUGAAGUAUUAAAUUUAGUCAACUAAAUUGAAUUUUAGGACUUGAUUGUAACAAUUUUAAAAAUUCGAACCAGAAAUUACAGCAUAUAAGUUUUAAGACUAUAGUGUUAACAACCUCAUAGUUUGAGUACCAAACGUGCAAUUUACCCAAAUAAUUAUUAAAGUUCAAAUAAUUUAGUUUGAUCUUCGAAUGUAUACUUUUCAAAGAACCAAGUUCUUGAUUAUUGUAUGUCAUUACCAAUAAUAGGGCGUCGAAAUUGACUAUGGAUGCCAUUUAAAAUGAUAUAUGGCAUGCGAAAUUCAUGAAAAUAAAUUUCAUAAUUUUUUAUAUUAUUCAUAUAUUAUGUAAGCAAUUCCAAAAUUAAAAACUUUCAUCAACAAUUGUAAGGUAAGGUAUAUUUAAAAUUAUUUGAUUACUAAAUAAACAAUAUCAUAAAAUGGUAAAAUUUUAGAAUUUAAGUUUAAAAACUUUACAUUUAAGUUUUUUUAAAAUUUAAAAUUUUUUAUUCUUUAAAAUUUAAAUUUAAAUUUAAAAUAUAAACUUUUGAAGUUUAAAAUUUAAAUCUUAAAAUUUGAAAUUGAAAUUUUAAUAUUUGAAAUUUAAUAUUUGAAUUUUUUAAUUUAAUUUAUAAUUUAAUAUUUAAAAUAUUAAAAUUUGAAAUUUAAAAGUUAAAACUUAAAAUUUAAAAAUUUUAUAUUUUAUCUUAAUUACUAAAACCAAAUUUUAAAAUAUUCAAAAUUUAAGAUUUAAAAUUUUUAAAUUCAAGUUAUAAAUUUAAUAUUUAAAAUAUUGUAAUUUGAAAUUUAAAAUUUAAAACUUACAAUAUAAAAAUUUUAUAUUUUAUCUUAAUUACUAAAACUAAAAUUUUUAAUUUUACAUAUUUUAACUUUAAAUUUUAGUUCCUAAAUUUUAAAAUUUUCAUUCUAUAUUCAAAUUUUGAAUUUUAAAAUUUAAAAUAUAAAAUCUAAUAUUUGAAACCUAAAAUUUUAAAUUUGAUAUUUGAUAUUUAAAAGUUAAAAAUAAUAUUUAAAAUCUAUGUCUGAAAUAUGUUUAUUUGAAAUUCAUUAAUUUAGAAUUUUAAAUCUGAAUGAUAGUUUAAAAUUCUACUAUAAAAGAAAAUUUUAAAUUUAAAUUUUAAAUCGAAAAUCAAACUGAGAUUUUAGGUUGCCGAUGUUGAUCCGCCGCGAAGCGCGGGCCCUAAACUAGUUUAACAUGAUAUGGAGGUAGUUCUCUUCUCCUCCUAUUUAAUUAUUCUACAUUUUGGGCCUCCUUUCAUUAAACUAUUUAAAAAUUUCUCUAGAUUAGGCACAUGUGAAACAAAGUGUUAAAUAUAAGUAUUAAAAAUAUCAUUCUCUCUGUUACGAUAAACACACAAACAAAAACGAAUAUGACGAAUAUGAAAUAAACAAACCACAGAAAUAAAAGAGAACACACAGAUUUACGUGAAAAACUCUUUGCAGGAAAAAACUACGGGCGAGAAAGGAGAGGACUUCACUAUCGAAAAAAAAGAAUAUAAUGUUCGAAGUACAACCAGCAUUAAUCUGUCGCCUCUAGGGCAAAAAUGAAAAAAAAAAAUUCUUAACGGGUUUUGGAUCCGAUCCGUAUAGUAGGGGGCUCUCCCCCUUCCCCCGGGGAAUGUCAAUGGUGGGUUACGGACUCGGGCCCGUAGCUACCCACCACAGGCAUUCAUUUUUUCCUUCACAAUUUUAUUUCAAAAGUCGCACCGCAACUACCGGCAAGUUGAAGUCCCGAACUAAAGUCGAUUAUCAAUUUCGACUCACAUCUAACACUCCCUUUAAUCUUUCAAUGGUUGUUUCAUAGUAAAUAAUGUUUAAAUGUGUCGAUUAUUUAUUCUGAUGAUCCUUCAUCGAAAUGCCUUGAAAGCUGAACUUAGUAUAAAGUAUUUUUAAUUCCUUUUUUCUUGCUCCAUAUAAAAUUUUCUCCUAAACGACAACCACUACUACAGUUUUAGUUUUUUAAGUAUGACAAUUCUAAAGCUGUCCAAAAUAUCCGAUAUACCAUACUCAACUCAGACCCUAUCCGGACCCGAUAAAAAAUGGAUAGUACACGGGUAAAAAAAAUUACCCAUUAAAAUUUUGGGUAUGAGUCUGGACUCAAUACCCAAGUUGGACCCAACCCGAACCCAACUAGAUAGAGGCUAGAAUCGUUUUCAAAUCCUGAUCUAGAUCCAAACCUAGACCCGAUAAAAUAUUCCAUAGUAAAGAAGAAAAAAAUUAAACUUUUGAAAUUGAAGGAUCAAUUUUAAUAGGAUUUACAGAUGAGGGGUCUCUAAGUAUUUUCAUCCUAGUGAAACACUGAAACCCUAAUCGCUCUUUUACUCUGUUCUUUUUAAUAAUCUUUUCUCUUUAUUUUUCACUCUUUAUUAUUUUAUUUUAUUUCUGCCUAAAAGUUUUUUAUAAAACAAUAUUUUCAUUGUCGUCAUCAUCAGCAAUAUUAAUUCUCUACGGGCAUGGAACAGGUGAGUUUUUCCUAAAUCCCUUUUCAAAUCAUAGUCGACAAACUAAUUUUUUUAAUAAAUAUUCUACGGCUAAUUUGCAUAAAAAAUCUAUUAGUUUUGAGUUUUUGCAAAAGUAAGUCGACUUUUUGAAUUUUGCAGAUACGGGCCGAAUUUUCAGAAAGAUGACCAAACUAUCCCUCUUUCAAAAUAUAUAAAAAUUAUAUGCUUUAAAUGCCUAGAAAAAUACAACUGCUAAGCCAUUAAGUGUGAAAUUUCUAGAAAAUGACAACUGCCAAGCCAUAAUAACAUAUAUAUAUAUCUUUCUCGUGAAACGAGAAUUAUCAUUCAAGAUAAAAUAAAAAGAAUAAAACAUAAUUAAUAAGAUGAAAGAAUACAACAUCCUCUCAAAUAGUACAACAUGCUCUUCCAAAUAGUGCAAUAUUUGUAUAAAUAGUGCAACAUAUGCAUUGCUAAUACAUUUUGUACAAUUUAGUAUAUUACGUGAAAAUAAUAUAAUAUAUUACAACAUACUAUAAAAAUUAUAGAAUAUAUGUACAAACGGUAUAUAUUUUAUACUAUUUGUACAUAUAUUUAUAAUAUUUGUGUAAACGUUGCACUAUUAUGAGAGGAUAUUGCACCAUUUAGAUGUGUGUUGUACUCUUUCUUUUUGAAAAUUAAAUUUCAUUGCAUAUUAAAUAAAGUGUCAAAUUUCUUGAAAGUGACAACUGCUAAGCCAUAGUUACAUAUACCUUUCUCGUGAAACGGAAAACCUGAUUCAAGACAAAAUAAAAAAAAUAAUGAAUAAUUAAGAUAAAAGAGUGCAACAUUCUCUCAAAUAGUGCAACAUGCUCUUCCAAAGAGUGCAAUAUAUGUAUAAGUAGUGCAACAUAUGCAUUAUUAAUACACAUUUUACAUGAUUUUUACACAAAAUUACAUACAGUUUAGUAUAUUACGCGAAAAUAAUAUAAUAUAUUAAUGUACAGUUUAGUAUAUUACGUGAUUUUUACAUGAUUUUUACACUAAAUUAUGUACAGUUUAGUAUAUUUUGCAUGAGUGGAUGUUGCACUCUUUCAUCUUAUUAAUUAUACUUUAUUCUUUUUAUUUUGUCUUAAAUGAGUUUCUUGUUUCACGAGAAAGGUACAUGUAAUUAUGGCUUAACAGUUGUCAUUUUUAAAAAAUUUUACACUUUAUUUAAUAUGCAAUGAAAUUUAAUUUUCAAAAAGAAAAAAUGCAACACACAUUUAAAUGGUGUAAUAUCCUCUCAUAAUAGUGCAAUGUUUAGACAAAUGGUAUAAAUAUUUAUACAAAUAAUAUAAAAUAUGUACCGUUUGUAUAUAUAUUAUAUAAUUUUUAUAGUAUGUUGUAAUAUAUUAUAUUAUUUUCGCGUAAUAUACUAAACUGUAGAUAAUUUAGUAUAAAAAUUAUGCAAAAUGUGUAUUAACAAUGCAUAUGUUGCACUAUUUAUACAGAUAUUGCACUAUUUAGAAGAGCAUAUUGCACUAUUUGAGUGAAUGUUGCACUCUUUCAUCUUAUUAAUUAUAUUUUAUUUUUUUUAUUUUGUCUUGAAUGAGAAUUCUCGUUUCACGAGAAAGUUAUUUGUAAUUAUGGCUUGACAGUUGUCAUUUUCGAGAAAUUUUACACUUAAUGAUUAGCAGUUGUAUUUUUUUAGGCAUUUAAAGUAUAUAAUUUUUGAAAGAUGGGUAGUUUGGUCAUCUUUCUGAAAAUUCGGUCCGAUUCUACAAAAUCUAAAAAGACGGUAUAGUUUUACAAAAGCUCAAAACUAAUAGAUUUUUUAUGCAAAUUGGCCAUAUUCUAUUUUUUAAAUUUUCUAAUUUCUUUUUUUUUAAUGUUAGUAUAUAAUAUUAGUAAUUACUGCAUCUUAUUCUCUUUAUCUACGAUAUGGUAUCACAAUUUUCUUGUUUUGUGCAUUUGCAUAUGAAAUUGUUUUGAAUUUUCGAUUUUUAAUUGGCCAAUAUAAUUGCCUAAACAAGCUCUUCCCAUACAAUUUAAUAAAAUGUAUAAAUAUAUAUAUAUAUAUAUACAAGCAUCCGUACCUGAUUUAGACUCCACCCGUAUCCGAUCUUGAAUGAGUAGUACACGGGUAGUCACUAUCCAGACCUACUCAAAUAGACCCGAUGGGUAUAUAAAUAAUUUAAGUACCCAGAUCCGGACCCAACCCGAGAUUGAAUGUGUAGAGUUUUUUUUUCUAACUAUUUUUUUAAAGUAUAGAUACAGUAUAUCAACUAUCCAAAUCCGAUCCAAUUCACGAAAACCUUUAGACAAUUCUUUUUAUGAACUUGAAUCCCUAGAGAUAUGCCUUAAUGGUGCGGGGAUGGGGAGGAUUGUCCCACGAAGACCGCAACAGGGGAGAUAUUCCCGAUUUACGAGAACAGGGCCGGGAUGGAAACAUUAUUAUAUAGUUAUUAAUGUAUUUAUAAAUAUAAAAUGCUAACUUCGAUGCAUGCAAUAGAUAUUAAAUUUAAUUAGAUAUACUUAAUAAUCUAACUGUACAUAAAAAGUAAACGUAAUAGUUAAAUAAAAUUUUGCCUUUUUGCAUAAAAAUACACCAAUUUUACAUUUUUGCGAAAUCGGGCUAAUAUUUUAAAUUUUACAAAUUCGGUUCAAAUUUUUAAUAAACUGAUUAAAAUGCCUUUAUUUUUUUUCUCUUUUUCUUAACGGAUAUAGCAUAUAAUCACAGAGGUUAACUUGCGGCGGAAUGCAUGACCGUGAAUGGUAACUACGAUGAGGGUACUGAUGGAUUUAAAAAUGAUGAGAAGUGAGAGUGCAUCAGGCUGGAGCAAAGGCUGCAGCAAAGGGCGAGGGAGGGAGGACAAUAGCGAAAAAGAUGCAAAGGGUGAAAAAAAGAAUAAAAAAAAAGAAUAAAAAAAAAAUUUUUUUCUCCUGAGAAUACUAUUAUGUGUAGUUGCUGCUACAGAAAAGGCCACAAUCAGUGAGAAAAAAGGAAAAAGAUAAAGUUGUACUAUACAGUUUGAGACGAAUGUUGCACUCAAAGUUGUACUCAUUAAAAAAAAAAAUUAUAUUGUUUGAGACAAAAGUUACACUCUUUGAGACAAAAAUCAUACUGCUUGAACGAAAAUUGCACUGUUUGAGAAAAAAUUAUACUAUUUGCAAAAAGUUGCACUCUUUAGGUAGAAAUUAUGCUUUUUGAACGAAAGUUGUACUUUUUGAAAAAAUUAUAUUAUUUAAAACUAUUUGAGACUAAAUUACAUCAUAGAAUGUAAAAGUUGUACUUUUUUAGACUAAAUAAAAGUGUCCGUGGAGCUUGUGGGAUCUCGGUAGUUGAUAUAUAGAAGUUAUACUUUUUUAGACUAAAUAAAUAUAUGCGUGAAUUGGGUCGGGUUUGAGUAGUUGAUAUAUUAUACUAGCACCCUAAAAAGAAAUGGGUAGGAAGGCAAAUUUAUGUCAUACCUAUUUAACUUGGGGUCUAAUUCGAGUCUAGAUAUUUAAGAUACUAAUACCCAUCGGUCUAGUUGAGUAGUUCUGGAUAGUGACUAUCCACAUACUAUUCACUUAAGAUUGGGUACAGGUCGCAUCUAGAUUGGGUAUGAAUACCCGUAUGCACAUGUUUUUUAUAGACUAUUAACCAUGUGACGCCCCAACUUCCCAAUAGGUCACCCAUUUUAGAAUUACUUCCAUCCUAGCACACUCAACUCUUUUAACUUCUUAGACCUAGCUAUCGUUCAAAAUGCUUAAAUCAGGUUAAAAAAUUAUUAUUAUUAUAUCUUAUAUAUAGAACUAUCUUGAGUCUCACAUUCUCCCUCUCUCAAGCCCUGAAGUUCUCGUUAAACUCAAACUCACAAGUAUUAGGCCGUUAAGCUCACAUUCACAAGUAUUAGGUGAUGUAAGACUCGUCUCGCUAGUCUAAACCGACCUUAUGGUGAGUUGCGCUCCACCCACACCAGUCAACUGUAUAAGAGUCUCGCUCUCCCCGCUGUAUAAUUCUGGCUCGGCCUAGACUCAUCUUAAACUUCCGACUAGUAAUUAGCUUUGAUACCAAUUGUGAUGCCCUAACUUAAUUCCCAGGGGGUCACACAUCCAAUGACUACUCCCGUCCUAACACGCUUAACUUUCUUAACCUCUUGGACCUAGCCACAGCUCAAAAUGUUUAAGCCGGAUUAAAAGUUUAGCCAUAUUAUAUCUUAUUUAUAGGAUUAUUUGGAGUCUCACAAAAUAAUCUUUGGAUAAACCAUAAAUCUCUCACUAUAGAAAUUAACCUCGUGUUCUAAUGAGUUACACCUAGUCAGAGGGAUCAAAAAGGCAAAAAGAGUGGCUAGGGUUUGAUUUUAUUUAUUUAUUUAUUUAUUCUACUCCUUUCCUUAACUCCAGCAAUAAACAAGGAUCUAUUUAGAGUGGAAUAUUCAAGCAAUAAACAGAGCGGCUGGGGUUAAAAGAAAUAAAGAGUAAAAAAAAAAAUAAAUAAAUAAACAUAGCAGCUAGUUUCACUAGAAUGAAAAUACAUAGAGACCCCUUAUCUAUAAAUCCUAUUGAAAUUGAUUCACCAACUUUAAAUUUUUUUUAUUUAUUAUUGAAUAUUUUACUAGGUCCGGAUCCGGAUUCGGAUUUGAAAACUAUUCUAAACCUACCUAUUAAAUGAUCAGUUUCGGAUGAGGUCCAAGUCAGGUAUGGUUUCAGAUCCAUACUCAAAACUUUAAUGAAUUCUUUUUACCCGUAUACUAUCUAUUUUUUAUCAAAUCUAUUUUUUUUUUAUACAAGAAGUAACGGUGAUUUGGUGAUUUUGUCCUCUCGAUUAGUACCGUAUUUCUCCGAAAAUAUUUCUGAAAUAUUUAUGAAAUUUUAAAUAGCAAAAUAUAAGUUUCUAAAAGUUAUCAAAAAAAAUUAAAAAGUUAAAUAUUUAUAGAAAAAAUUUCUAUAAUUUUAGUAAAAAAUAUAUUUAAUUUAUUUUUAAAAAUGUGUAGAACUUUCGUAGGAUGGUGAUCUUAAAAACCCGCGAAAAAGGGCGUCAGCCAAGGGGCCCCGCUCUGUUGCAAUCCUUAUAUUUUCUACUCCUUCUGACGUGGCAGACUGGCACACUAGGCCGCCACAGUCAGUCAGUCUAGGGCCUUUCGGGCUUUCAAACCGUACGCUUCGAGAAGGCCCGAACCCGCAUAGAUGCUUCAUUCCCGACAAGGACACAUUGAUUAAGAAUCAAUAGAAAACUAAAUCAACCGCAUCAGUGCUUAAGCCUACCCCAAAUUGUACCCCUGCAUGUGUCCCCUGCUUCAAUUCAUUCUAAUUCGGAGAAAAGCAAAGAGAUUCGAUACCAUCUCAAUUACUUUGACGCCGAUUCAAUUCACCGCUCAAUCACUUGUCGUGAACUUCUAUUUUAGUCUAUUGAACAGAGUUGGUAAGCUAUUAUUAAUUUGUGACGAGAAAAAUAGAAAAAAAUAAUUGAUUAUUUAAACUUUAGACUGAAUUUAUAUAACAUCUUGAACUUUGAACUUCGGUGUUUAUAAAAACGUGAGAAAUAUAUUUUUAUUAUAAUAGAAUAAAGAGUUCAAAGUGGGUGGUCAAUUAUGACAAAAAUAAGAAGAUCAAAAAACAUCUGAUGUAUAUAGUAUUACCGUUUAAAAAUAAAAAAUAAAAAAAUGCAGGCGCAAACGCCAAACAAGGCUCGAAUUUUUUUUUUUUUUUUUUUGAACUUCGAGCACUGAACCGUGAGCAGGCGAAAGCUCACAUGCAUGGUGUGGUGAGCUUCCACUCUUGAAAUAAGAGUAUUUGGUGAGCUUCCACUCUUGAAAUAAGUAUUUAACCAGAUAACUGCUGUACCUUGGGUAUGCUAUUUGGUGCGCCUAACACUAGCUACUAAUUUUGCCAACGCGCACAAUUUUGCGUUUGAAGUCGUAGAGAUUCACGUGGGGUCGCGCACAUUUCUGUGUUUGAAGUCGUAGAGAAUUACGUGGGGUCACAAUUAUACAUACGUGUGUGUAUAUAUAUAUAUAUACAUUUCUGUGUUUGAAGUCUUAGAGAAUUACGUGGGGUCACAAUUAUACUUAUGUGUGUGUGUAUAUAUAUAUACAUUUCUGUGUUUGAAGUCGUAGAGAAUUACGUGGGGUCACAAUUAUACAUACGUGUGUGUAUAUAUAUAUACAUUUCUGUGUUUGAAGUCGUAGAGAAUUACGUGGGGUCACAAUUAUACAUAUGUGUGUGUGUAUAUAUAUNCAAUUGUGAUGCCCUAACUUAAUUCCCAGGGGGUCACACAUCCAAUGACUACUCCCAUCCUAACACGCUUAACUCUCUUAACCUCUUGGACCUAGCCACAGCUUAAAAUGUUUAAGCCGGAUUAAAAGUUUAGCCAUAUUAUAUCUUAUUUAUAGGAUUAUUUGGAGUCUCACAAAAUAAUCUAUGGAUAAACCAUAAAUCUCUCACUAUAGAAAUUAACCUCGUGUUCUAAUGAGUUACACCUAGUCAGAGGGAUCAGAAAGGCAAAAAGAGUGGCUAGGGUUUGAUUUUAUUUAUUUAUUUAUUUAUUUUACUCCUUUCCUUAACUCCAGCAAUAAACAAGGAUCUAUUUAGAGUGGAAUAUUCAAGCAAUAAACAGAGCGGCUGGGGUUAAAAGAAAUAAAGAGUAAAAAAAAGAAAAAAUAAAUAAACAUAGCAGCUAGUUUCACUAGAAUGAAAAUACAUAGAGACUCCUCAUCUAUAAAUCCUAUUGAAAUUGAUUCACCAACUUUAUUUUUUUUUAUUUAUUAUUGGAUAUUUUACCGGGUCGGAAUCCGAGUUCGGAUUUGAAAACUAUUCUAAACCUACCUAUUAAAUGAUCAGUUUCGGAUGAGGUCCAAGUUAGGUAUGGUCUCAGAUCCAUACCCAAAACUUUAAUGAAUUUUUUUUACCCGUAUACUAUCUAUUUUUUAUCAGAUUUAUUUUUUUUUAUACAAGAAGUAAAGGUGAUUUGGUGAUUUUGUCCUCUCGAUUAGUACCGUAUUUCUUCGAAAAUAUUUAUGAAAUUUUAAAUAGCAAAAUAUAAGUUGCUAAAAGUUAUCAAAAAAAAUUAAAAAAUUAAAUAUUUAUAGAAAAAAUUUCUAUAAUUUAACUAAAAAAUAUCUUUAAUUUAUUUUUAAAAAUGUGUAGAACUUUCGUAGGAUGGUGAUCUUAAAAACCCGCGAAAACGGCGUCAGCCAAGGGGCCCCGCUCUGUUGCAAUCCUUAUAUUUUCUACUCCUUCUGACGUGGCAGACUGGCACACUAGGCCGCCACAGUCAGUCAGUCUAGAGCCUUUCGGGCUUUCAAACCGUACGCUUCGAGAAGGCCCGAACCCGCAUGGAUGCUUCAUUCCCGACAAGGACACAUUGAUUAAGAAUCAAUAGAAAACUAAACCAACCGCAUCAGUGCUUAAGCCUACCCCAAAUUGUACCCCUGCAUGUGUCCCCUGCUUCAAUUCAUUCUAAUUCGGAGAAAAGCAAAGAGAUUCGAUACCAUCUCAAUUACUUUGACGCCGAUUCAAUUCACCGCUCAAUCACUUGUCGUGAACUUCUAUUUUAGUUUAUUGAACAGAGUUGGUAAGCUAUUAUUAAUUUGUGACGAGAAAAAUAGAAAAAAAUAAUUGAUUAUUUAAACUUUAUAUAACAUCUUGAACUUUGAACUUCGGUGUUUAUGAAAAACGUGAGAAAUAUAUUUUUAUUAUAAUAGAAUAAAGAGUUCAAAGUGGGUGGUCAAUUACGACAAAAAUAAGAAGAUCAAAAAAACAUCUAAUGUAUAUAGUAUUACCGUUUAAAAAUAAAAAAUAAAAAAAUGCAGGCGCAAACGCCAAACAAGGCUCGAAUUUUUUUUUUUUUUUUUUUUUUGAACUUCGAGCACUGAACCGUGAGCAGGCGAAAGCUCACAUGCAUGAUGUGGUGAGCUUCCACUCUUGAAAUAAGAGUAUUUGGUGAGCUUCCACUCUUGAAAUAAGUAUUUAACCAGAUAACUGCUGUACCUUGGGUACGCUAUUUGGUGCGCCUAACACUAGCUACUAAUUUUGCCAACGCGCACAAUUUUGCGUUUGAAGUCGUAGAGAUUCACGUGGCGUCGCGCACAUUUCUGUGUUUGAAGUCGUAGAGAAAAUUACCUGGUGUCACAAUUAUAUGUGUGUGUGUGUGUGCGCGCGCGCGCGCGCGCGCGUGUGUGUAUACAUGUGUGUGUGUGUUUGUGCGCGCGCGCGCGCGUGUGUGUAUACAUGUGUGUGUGUGUGUGUGUGUGUGUGUGUGUGUACAUUUCUAUGUUUGAAGUCGUAGAGAAUUACCUGGGGUCACAAUUAUACAUACGUGUGUGUGUAUAUAUAUAUACAUACAUAUAUAUAUAUAUAUAUAUAUAUAUAUAUAUUAUAUAUUAAUAUAUAUAUAUAGUCCGGCAUAUGGUGCUUGUAAAAGUACCAAGCAUUUAGUGUUUGUAAGUUUUUUACCGUUAGAUCUACGCCUUUAAUCAUUUUUACCAGUUAGAUUAUACUAUUCAAUCAACUAACCAUUCAACCUAGGACGGUCCACAUCAUCCUAACCGCACAUCCUUAAUCCAAGGGCCGAAACCUUACAAGCAAAAAAAAACUUGACUACUUUAAAAAUAUAGGAGCUCAAUUCUAUUAUAUAUAUUAUAUAUAUAUAUAUAUAUAGAGAGAGAGAGAGAGAGGAGAGAGAGAGAGUAGGCUGCUAGACUAUCAGUAGCACGGACGCUUCGUGCUACCAAGUGUUUCAUGAUGCUACUUCCAAAUCGACGAGGCGGCUCCGUUAGACUUGAUCUACACUAUUGAAAGUAUUCGGAACUAAAUUCUCAUUUUUUCGGUAUAUUAUUAUCAAACGAGUAGUCUAAAUAAAUGGCUAAAAUAAAAUUCAUAAAAAAUGAUGAUAGAAGACUUGAAUUUAAGAUCAGAGAUAGAUCUUACUAUAAAUAGUAAAAGAAAUUUUCUAUAAAAAUUUUAUCUGAUUUGAAUUGGUUUUACAUCUGUAAAUUUAUAAAUAAUCACAUCUACCAUUAAAAUUGUUAAUUUGAGACUUAUCAUUAGCCAAAUGCAUGAUGUCUAAAAAUUCAAAUUUAGUUUCCAAAUACUUCAAUAGUGUAAAUAAGUCUAACGGAACAGACAUCGACUUUGAAGACGCGAAUCAGCGAACAAACUUGUAGCACGGAAGCCUCCGUGCUGACGAUAGUAUAGCAGCCGGACUUAUAUAUAUAUAUAUAGAGUUGAGCUAGAAUUACUCUCGAGAGUAAACGAGCCCCGUUUACUCUCGAGUUGUUUUCGAUGAUAGAGCUUCCAAAUGACAUCGGUCCGGUUGAACAUGAUUUAUACCACUUGAAGUGUUUAGAAAUAAAUUUCAAAUCUUUUCGACAUUAUUUGCCUAAUGGAUCAAAGGGUUUCAAAAUUUGUUAAUUUUAAUGGUGGAUAAGAGACGUUUUCUCGUUUAACGUGUAAAUAUCCAAAUUAAUUGAAUUUGUUUAGAAAAUUCUUUAAACUAUUUAAAACAAGAUCUAUACUCUUGAUCUUGAAUUACAAGAUCCUUAUCAUCAUUUUUUAAAAAUAUUCAUUUCAGCCAUUCAUUUUUUCUGUUCACUAGAUGGAUAUAAAACAUAUCGAAAGUGCGUGAAAUCUGAUUUCUAUGUAGUUUAAAGGUUUAGAUAUAUUAACGAGGCCGACGUCAAUUUUGAAGCUCUAUCAUCGAAAACAACUCGAGAGUAAACGGGCUCGUUUACUCUCGAGAGUAUUCUAGCUCAACUCUCCUCUCUCUCUCUCUCUCUCUCUCUACUAUAAUAUAUAAUAUUAUAAUAUAUAUAUAUAUAUAUAUAUAUAUAUAUAUAUGAAUUGAGCUCCUAUACUUUUAAAAGUACCAAGUUAGUGGUGCUUGUAGAUUUUUAGCCAGAUUAAUGGUUGUACGGUUAGAAUAAAGUGGGCCCCCUAGGAUUGAGUGGUUGGUUGGUUAAAUAGUAUAAUCUAAUUGUUGAAAAUGAUCAAAGGCGUAGAUCUAAUGGGAAAAAAUUUACAAGUACCAAAUGCUUGGUGCUUUUACAAGUACCAUAGCCGGACUCUAUAUAUAUAUAUAUAUAUAUAUAUAUAUAUUCAGGAUUCUAUUGCAAAGUGAAGCAGGAUUUAUUAGUACAUUAAGCGAAAAUAUGAGAAAACAUUUUACUGAUGAUACAANNNNNNNNNAUAUAUAUACUUCUCUUCAUUUUCUUUUUAUUAUUAGUACUACUUGGACCAGGGCCCCCGCAGACCACUCUCCCCCACCACGCGGACAACUGUCACUCUCCCAUGAGCCCAUCUUCUUCCCACGCGUCUUCUCACGAAUCACAUAUAAAUGUCGCUCGAUCUCAUCCUAAUUAGAUUCCAACACUAAUAUCUCUCUCUCUCUCUCUCUCUCUCUCUCUCUCUCUCCACCACCACCACCACCACUCCAUAUAUCAUCCUCUUUUACCCACUCGGAUAUUCGAACUCGGUCGAAAGAAGCGGAAUUUGAUGACGAAAUCAGCGGCGGAGGAGGCGGCGGCGGCGGCGGCGGAGAGAAGGUAUAAGGGGGUGCGGCGGCGCAAGUGGGGGAAGUUCGUGUCGGAGAUCCGGCUGCCCAACAGUCGGAACCGGAUAUGGCUCGGCUCCUACGACACGCCGGAGAAGGCGGCCCGCGCUUUCGACGCCGCCGCCGUCUGCCUCCGCGGGCCCCUAGGCAGCGGCCGGCUCAACUUCCCCGACUCCCCCCCGCAGCUCUCCUCCUCCGCCACCGCCGCCAUGACCCACCAGCAGAUUCGCGAGGCGGCUGCCAGCCACGCCAACCGCGCCGCCCGCGCCACAACUCAACAGCAGCAGACGGCGGCGGCAGAGUCGCCGUCGACGGAGGAGGCGUCGGACGGGAUGACGCCGGAGAGCGAGGAGGCGGUAGACUGGUCGUACAUGGAUUUGAUAUCGCCGGUCGGCGCGAAGGCUGCGGCGAAAACUGCAGCUGCGGCUGCGGCUGCGGCGGCGGCGGCGCUUCGGAUUCCGGGUCGAUUCUUUGGAGCUUCUAAUUAAGAGAGAAGCCACAACAAUUCAUUCGUUAAAAUUUAUUUAUUAUUUAUUCGUUCAUUCGUUCAUUCGUUCAUUCAAUUACAUACUCAAGAGAGAGAGGGCUCGGCAAGUUUUUGUUUGCCCAAUACUUCUCUCCGGCACAUCGCCGGGAUUUUUGAGUUCCUCAGCGACGUUGCCUCUUUUUUUUCUUUUCUUUUCUUUUCUUUUUUUUUUUUUUUUUUUUUUCCAACAUGAUUGGCUAAGAGAUUCAUUAAUUAAUUUGUUCUUUGUAUUAGACACGUGGUAUAAGGACUUUAUAUUUUUUUAUUAAAUAAAUAAAUAGUAAACAUCACGUGGUUGUCAUUUUGUGAGUUUUUGGUCCCUGCAAUAAUUGCUUUUUGUUCACCCCUGUAACAACUGCACGAGUGUGCAGGACACUUGUCAACAAAAUAAUAUUUAAAGAUUCAAUAUAUCGCAAUUUAAUAUUUGGAUCGCUUAACAGAGAUUAGUAGAGAGCGACUUUUAGAAUUAAUUAAUUAUUGACGAGAGAAUUAUGGGGUACGUUUAACCUUAUCGCAUUUGAGUUAAUUACCGUAUUGGUUGGGAUUUUAUCUCUCUUUCUACACAUAAGAUAGAAAUAAGAUGUAAUAUUAUCUUUUUUAUGUUGUUUUCUUCAUACUUGAAUUACUUAUUCCUUCCCAUGUGAUAAGAAUGAGGACUAUUGGUGCAGAAACUCUUAUUAUAUAUUGUCAAACCUCUUAAUAUCUUUUCUUAAUUAUAUUACUAAUGUCGUUAAUUUUCAUAAUUUAUUCUACAUUAUUAUUUAGUUGAAUCUUCAAAAAUAUGUUACCAACUACUGUUACAUCACUUAAGUAAGGUAUAUAUAUAAGAGCAUGGAAGGAUUAAGUAAUUCAAGUUUUGAACAACAAGUAGCAAUCAAUAAGAUGGAAGAUCCAAAAAUUGAAGUCACGAAAAAAUAAAUUACAGGAGUCAAGCUCUCCAACACGAGAAGCUAUGCAUGAGAUGAAGGAUCCAGAGAUAGGAAUGGAGUUUGAAAAUUAAGAUAGAGCAUAUGAAUAUUGCAUGCAAUUGAUAUGUUUGAAAAUAUUAGAUAGAUUGGUCUUCCACAAAUGUUAUACGAGCGAUCGAUAUGGUUCGUAUGGUCACGAGUGGCUUAGAUCUUGCGAGAAGAUCGAAGAGGUGACUUGUGUGGCCAUGACAUAGAGAAAGGGAGCUAGAUGAAAGGGCUUCUAAUAGUCCUAUGUAUGGAGAAAGAGAGAGAUAAAAGUUAGUGGAGGUAGGAUUAAAUCACAUAAUUCUCUCAUCAAUAAUUAAUUAAUUUUCCUAAUUAAUUAUUCUACAUGUCACCCUCCAUUAGUCUAUAUUAAGUGAUCCAUGUGGCAAGUUGUGAUUGGAUCUUCAAAUAUUAUUUUGUUGGGGUGCCUUACACCAAAGCCAAACUCGUAUAGUAUUUCUAAUUAUUUCUAAAUCCGGCUCCUAUAAAUCAAAUUAUUAUUAAUAUUGUAUUACUAUAAGCAAAAUUGUAGUAUGAAGUGAUGGUUGGCACUUCUAUAGAGUGCCGAACUGAGGUGGAGCUAUUUUGACGCGAAAAUGGACCACCCUGGAGACUAAACUCAGUUUAAUCUGUGUUUUUGAGCUUUCCGGAUGCUCAGGUGUGAUCUACGGCCCUCGGAGGUGGCGAGCUAUGGAGCAAGGGAUCCAGAUGGUGAUUCCGAAUGCCCGACAUUACUGCAGAUGGACUCGGGGUGUUGAGGUUGUCAGAUCCUUGACGCUAACCAUUAAUCCCAAAAACUCGAGCUGUUAGAAAUACGCAAUCAAUUCAUUUAAAGCGUAUAGAUGCCGCAUCCACGAGUCUCGAUUCCGGCUUGGUUUAACCAGUCUUACGUCACUUCGAACAUGACUCGGCCCAACAUGGCCUCCCUCCACAGGGUAGAAUGCUGAUUCCUUUAAGCCAACAAUCCCUCCUCCGGUACCUAUACAAAUUCGUAGCAUGCGAGAAUCAAACUCAUAACCUCUGGCUCUAAUACCACUUGUCGGAUCAUUGGUGCUAAUCAUUAAUCCCAAAAGUUCGAGCUGUUAGACAUACACAGCUAAUUCACUUAAAACAUGCAUAAAUAAUGCCCACGGGUCUUGAUGUUGACUCAGCCCAAUUGCCUCACACCACUUUGAAAAUGACUUAGCCCAAUCCAGCCCUUCGCCAUUUCGAACAUAACUCGGCCCAACUCCGCCUCCCGCCGCCACAAGGUAGAAUGCUAGCCCCUCUAAGCCAACAGAGGUCACCACUUACCCAUUCUUACGGUGCCUAGAAAUUGCUGUACGUAGUAGUCUAUCUGGAAGUGUGAUGGUGAUCGAGUCGGUAAGUGGUGAACUGGUGACACAGCAAGUGACUUAGCAGGGGAUAUAUUUGGGCACGGGAUUCUUCGGAUGCCUGAAAGUACUGCGCAGGCGCAACUCCGAUAGUUUCAAGUGGGCCAUUGCAUGUUGUGAGUGCCCAAAUGCCUUCGGCUACGAGGUUACGUACGCACGAAAGUGGUCCUGACUCCUGAGCACUCACUCGAACCUAGUGUUUUUGGCCUAAGGCUAAUUUCUGACAAUUGGAGGGCUUAUCUGCUAUUUUUCUCAGCCUAUAAAUAGUCUAGGGUGCUGUUAUUUUCCCUUUUUAUCCCUGUUGAUCUGAACACUUUUCCUUUUUUACUUCUUUCUCCAUUGAGCUUCAAUAAGCAUUUUGGACACAGCUUGAGGUCAGCCCAGGAGGUGGAUUCCUUUCCAACUGGGGUCUUGUGGAUGGUCUGGGAGGUACGCGUAGCUGAGUGGAGAAGAUCCUGUAGAGUGGGGAAGAGAAGAACUUGAGGGGUAAUUUUUCAAAGCUAAUACUAGAGGUAAGUAGAACAUGAGUUAGUUUAUAGUGUAAAUUGGGAAUUGAUCUGAUUAGGAUUUUGGGCUAUAGCAGUGAUUUUGUCCAUCAUGUUGAGAGCUGCGGAUUUGAGUGUGGAUUUUUUUGGUUGAGUUUUGCUAUUGGUGUUGUAGAGGAUGUCCAUGCUGGAGUGUUUCUUUUCUCUACGUACCCUUUUCGGAGCAAUUCUAGGUGGGUUCCACACCGCCAAAAAUGAUGGACUCAACCCUAUGUCUUCAUUUGGAUAAUAUAUAGGUAUCGAAAUAUCUGGUAGCUUUGCUAUAGUGGCAGGAGGAGGACACUUAAUUGAGCAUGAUCUUGUUAAUUGAACACUCUAUCAGCAUGUUUGAGUAUUUGUAGAUAUUUGAUAUUCCUACUGCUUGAGAUCAUGUUUUAUAUAUAUUAAUUGUGAGCUAUUUUAUAUGAAAAUUGAGAAAAAAACGCCACAGGACAAUGUGGCAGUAUUGGACAGUGGAUAGUCAUAUUCGGUAAUAUACUAGAUUAUUGUGCUAGAGGACAUCUGGAUAAUAUUAUUAUCAUUUUGUUAAUCAUCAUAUUUGACUAUAGCCUGCAUGAGAUACAUUGAGUUCGACAGAAAUAUGUGAUAUGAUACUCAAUCAAGUGCCCCUCCGAAGGCUAGUAUUGACAAAGAUGAGCUAGGUACCCUGCAUGUUGACGGACCACCUAUGGGUGUGGGGACCGAGCAUGAGGAGGGCACAGAAUUGACCCGACUUAUAAGUCAAUCAAUGUGAUUGAGUUAUAUAGCAUUGUUUCAUUCAGUUAUCUAGUUGAUGAAUAUGAUAUUUGAUUUAUAGCUUUCAAUAGUAGCAUUGAGACAUAAUAAUGAUAGUUUAUUUCCAACUUUAUUCUCAUUUUAUUAUUAUUGUUGUGGUGUAGGUCGUUAUCGUCGUCGACUGUACCUAUUAGGAACUGCUAUUUAGUAAUUCUCGCGCCCUCUGUUUAUUCAUUUUUGUUUUAGAACUCUUAAUGCCAACCUUUGAUCGAGAUAAUUAAAGGGAAUGCGAGCAAGAUAGCAUCUUCUAUCUGAAUGUAAAUGUGCCAGAGGAGGACCGCCAAUGUAUAUUUUUGUAUAUAGCAGACUGUACAUGUAUUUUACUUGCGAGGCCAGUUAAUUGGUUGAUGAUUGUAUAGAUACAGUUUGAUUUUGAAAAGUAUGGAUGUGAUAUGUAUUGUUAUUGCUAUACUUUAUAGAUGUUCAUAGACUCUGAUAUAUAGUUAUAUGAUACAUACUCCUAUUACUUGUGUUUGAGACCUGUUGUUUGUGGAUGCUUCAUAUGUAUCAGGUACACAGGUAAGUUCAUUAUAUUUGAUUCGUCUUAUAGAUUUUAGUAAUCCUUAUAGUAAAAUUUAUAUUAUUUUUAAAAUAUCCUUACACUCAUAUGUAAAUUUUAAAUUCAAGCUCAAAUUUAAAUUCAAAAUUUUGAAUUUAAAUUUAAUAUCGGUUCAAAUUUAAAUUAAAGUUAAGAUUUUGAGUUCGAACUUUAAAUUCAAAUUUUGAAUUUGAAUUCAAAUAUCAAAUUCGAAUUCAGAUUUCAAACUAGAAUUUCAAUUCCAAUUAAGAUUUGUAAUUCAGAGUUGAAAUUCAAAUUCUUUAUUUUGAAUUCAAAUUUCAUAUUCAUAUUCUGAUUUUGGACUGGAAACUUAAAUUCAAAUUUAGUUUUUGGAAUUCAAGUUCAAAUUUUUGAAGAAUUAAAAUUUAAAAUUCAAAUUUAUUCAAAUUCCAAAUUCAAAUUUAGAUUUUGAUCUCACAUUUCAAUUCCAGUUUAGAUUUUUAUUCCAAAUUUUAGUUUUAAAUUUACAUUUUGAGUUUAAAUUUUAAAUUCAACUUUAGAAUUUGAAUUUAAAUUUCAAAUUAAAUUCAAGAAAUUUUAUAUUCAAAUUAGAAUCCAAAAUUCAAAUUCCAAUCAAAAUUAAAAUUUUGAGUUCAAACUUAAAUAUUUUAAUUAAAAUUUUGAGUCCUAAUCUGAAAUAAAAAAAAAUUAUAUGAUUCCUAUUGGCCAAUUUGCAUAAAAAAUUCACAAGUUUUGAAUUUUUGCAAAAUUGGGCUGCUUUUUUCUAUUUUGCAGAUUCAGCCCGAAUUUUUAGUAAACUGACCAAAAUACCCUUAUACUUUUUUCUCUCUCCUUUUUUUUUUUUCUCGCGUUCUUUUUUUUUUUCUCGCCGAAGAAGGCGACGGAGGCGAAGGCGGAAACGCCCCCAUCGUCUCUACCCCUCACGCCCUCACUCUCGCCUGCACACCCCUCGCCCUACUUGCCUCCGACCCCGCCGUGGUCGCGCUGCGACUCACUUUUUUUUUUUCUCUCUUCGACCCUCCUCCAUCGCCUCCGCGGCCCUCCACAACGAUAACGAGGACGGUAACGCGUCCUCUUCCUCCGCCUUCGCCCUCUACCUCCACUGCAGUGAAUUUUCUACCUGCUAAACAAACCCGUCGUCCCCACUACCACCACUGACGACGAAGAGGAAAUGCUUUUCGGGGCCGAGAAGCACGCCAGCGAGAGAGAGGGAGAAAAAUAGUUACACUCCGGCGAGAACGAAUUUUGCACCCACCGAACCCACUUUUGUGAACCCGCGUCCUCACCGCUGCCGCCAACGAUAAAGAGAAAGCACUUCUCGGCGCCAAGAAGCUCGCCGGCAAGAGAAGGGCACGUGGCCCACCCGCCUACUCCAGAGGGCGGCGGCAAGCACGGCCUCGAUGGUGUCGGAGGCGAGGAGGGCGAGAAAUGCACGGGAACAUAUCUGAAUUAGCACUUUUAUUUGUUUAAAACAAAAAAAAAAAAAACUAAAAGGCCAAAAAUUAGAGAAUAAUAAAAAAAAUCAGAGAAAGAAAAAGAAAAUGAAAUUGCGCAGCUAAAAUUAAAUUGCACUAUUUUAAAAAAACGUUUUACUAUUAUGGACGUAAGUUGCAUUCUUUGAAAUGUAAACUGCACCAUUUAAGAUAAAAGUUACACUCUUUAAACGAAAGUUGCUGAAUACGAGAUGAAUUUUUCUGCUCGGUAUUUUAACGAGCUAGCUCGUGUUCAGCUUGUUGACACCCCUACUUGAGAAACAUGUUAUUAUAGAGAAUAUAAUAAACUGUUUUGGACGGAAAAAUUAGAAUAGUGCGAAUAAAGAUGAAUUAUAAUAGAAAAUAUAGAUACAAGCUAUUAAUUAAUUAACAUUUGAGUUUGCUAAAAAAAAAAUUGGUAAAUUAUUUAAUUAGUUAGUUAUAUACUUUUCUUAGUUCGGUGAUUAGCUAAUAAAUUAGUUCACUAUUAACAAUUUGCAAAUAAAAAUUGACGAAGAAGGAUAUUAAUUAGUUAGUAAGCAAUUACUUUACUAACUAGUAACUAGCUCUGUAUAUUCUUAUAAUAAUUAAUAAAUGAAUUGACUAUGAAUUAUAUAUAAAAUAUUAAUUAAUAUUUUAAUUUAUUAUUCACGUUGAAUUAGUUAAUUAGUUAGUUAACCAUAAAUAAUAGAUUAGACAGUUAAUUAUUUGGAAAAUUAUUUAAGAAAAAAUACAAAAUUAUUAUAUUAUUUUUGUGAUUUAUUCGAAACGAAAGGGAGACGCGGGGCGUUACGCAAUCGAAAAAUAUGCCCAAAUCGUCACGUGGGCAAAUAUUUCUAAUAGAAAUAGGACAAGGAAAGAUAAAGAACAGCACGGGCAUCUGAAACACGUGAGAAAGUACACAUUUCAGUGGGCAAAUAAAUAAUUUUUGUUGAAAAAAAUGUGGUUGUGUCGCCGAAACCGCUAAAAAAGGGCGGCUGCAACAACCAGCGUUUGAUAGUGCAGUUUGAAGGUACCUUUUUUUUAAGUUCAAAUUUUGUCAGACGUAAAAUUGUGCGCUUGCUUGCAUUAAAAAUUUAAGUCCCUGUCAGCACAAAUUAUAUCGUGCCAUUAAGAUAUUGAUACGAUACAGCUUUCAUAUUGAUGGUACAAUUUAAAACUUUAUAUUCUUUAAAUUAGUAAGUAAUUUUUUUUAAUACAAUUUAAAAAAUUUUAUAAAGAUAUAUAAUAAACAAUCAAAGCAUUUUACUUUAAAAAAAAAUAAACAUUUCAUACAUUAUAUGUCGGCAUAUAUAUAAGGGAGUCAAUACUCAUAAAAGUAUAGUAGCCAGACUAUAUAUAUAUAUAUAUAUAUAUAUAUAUAUAUAUACCGGCACGCGUCGAUACCGCUCGGCACGCAUCUGUUGUGCUGUGUCGGUACGUGCCACGAGUGCUUAAAUUCUUGGUCUGCAUUGUGUCUAAAUGUAUAAGAAUAAAAACAAAAAUAAAAAAAGAACAAUUAUGGAAAGGCUCCUUAUAGUAAGAUGAGAAUCAAUCCUUAAUAAAAGGUAAAGCAACGGGGAUUGCGAUGAAUCGUGUAUUGGAUUUGAAUUAAAAGUUUUGAUUUUAGUGUCUAUCUUUUAUAAUCUUUUAUUUUUAUACCCUGGAUCGUAUGUUCUCUCAAAUACAAUAAAACUAUUCUCUUAAUAAAAGGCUAUUGAAUAUUCUCCCGAGUAACACAAUAGUUUGUGAGAUUGCACAAAUCCUAUGUCAAAAUAUUUUAAAUAGAAUUAAAAUUUGACGGAAAGGAAGCAAAGUUAAAAAUAAUAAAAUUUAGAAGUAAAUUCAGAUAUGAAGCAUCUGCACAUUUUUCAUGUUUCUGCAAUGCACUAAUUGUGGAGAUUACUACAUCAAAUCAUUUGGGCACGUAUGGUAAUGACUAAUAAACUCAAUCAUUAGCACCUUUUUUAUUCUACUAAUCAUGUGAUUUUGAAUAAUUUGCUUCAUUAUUUUGUGAUUUUAUCUCUAUUUCACUUUAAAAUAUCUAUCAUUAAAUAGAGUGACAAGACAAUAAUACAAUUUACAAAUCAUAAAACAUAGGCCAAUGAGAUACUGCAGUUCGCCACCCAAUGAUUUAUAACUUUUAACACUUUAAUACUCUGACAGAUCCUUAACAGUGAUACAACGAAAAGCCAGUAGAAUGAAAAAAUAAAACUUUUAAACUAUCAAAUGGCAAAGUGAAAAUGUGUUAAAUCACAUGGGGAAAAUUGAAAUCACAAGAAUAUGAAAAUCAAGUAAUGUAUGGAUAUGAAGGGGCGGGGCGCAGAAUGUCUAUAGAAGUUCCAGAAUACAAACAACAGUAAAACAAGUAGUGCAUAUUUCGCAGUUCCCGCGAACUCGAUCUUUUCUCCCACAAUUUCUGUUUGUUCAACUCACAGAGAGGAUUUUAUGAGUCGGACGUGAGAAGGGCCAACAUCGCAUCUGCACUCUCGGGGCCAUCGUUGUUCACACUUGGAAUUAUGUGAUCCGGUGAUACGAAUCGCACAAACUCUCGCAGUUCAGUGAAGCUGCAGUGUUCGCUGUAUGGAACUUCAUACCUGAAUAUAAGCAAGGCCAAGGCCAAGAUCUUAUUACAAUGGGAGCUAACCAACUAUUAAAAGCUACCAGCUAAUAUGCAGAACAUAUAAUUUGACUGUAACUCCAUGCAUAGGACUUGUAGAAAUACAUAUCAAAAGCCCAGUCAUCACCUCAAAUUGAGAACUUUGUAAACCAGAAAGUCUGAAUUCUCAAACUGCUGCUAUGAAGAGAAGCUAAAAUAUGUUUCUGAGCACCAAAAGCAAAAGUUUCAACUUUGAACUUCUACUCUCGUUCUUUAAUAGUUUUGAUAAAAACCCAUUGGUGUUUCUCCUAACAUUUAUACUUAAACAUCACUUUUGCACAAGCUCCAGUAGGCUAAAGAAGCAUAAAUCAUCAUCAAAUUAGAGAUAGAGAGAGAAGCGGGAGCCGAUUAACGAAGACCCUUUCUUCAAUCUAGAAAAAGAAAUCAAUACCAUGGUCCUUUCCUAAUUGCAAGAGAGAGAGAGAGAGAAUUAGCUGUACAGAUGGAGAACUGGAUAUCAGAGCGCCUCUAAUUCAUGAAGGAAUUCUUGACGAAACUACUACUAGAGUCAUUUCUAAAUGAAACGAACAUAAAGAUCCCACAAUGUAUAUGUAGGUCCAACUUUAUCUUCAUAUUAAAUAAACAUUCCAGCAGUCCCAAAUACGAUAGACAUAAAUUGUUAAUUUGAAUGAAAUCAUACUUCAUACAGAAAUAUUAACGAGUAGCAUUAAGAGGAACGCUUGAAGUUAUACCUAAUGAUGGUGCCCUGUUGCCACCUUCUCCCAGGAGUUUUCCUUUUGCCUUUCCCAAAUGACCAACCAGUAGGAGAAAACGCAACAAUAAGAUCAAACCGGCCCUAAGCAACAUAAAGAAACAUCAGAUUAUCAUUUAGAACCUUUUCUCUAUGAAGAACUGAUAAAGAAAUGUUAUUUUCUUACAGCAUAUUGGUUGGAGAUAUAUUUCAUCCUCUUGAAGCUAGCAAGAGUCCACAUCGGGACGACAUGGAUGUGGCUCUCCAUUUCAUUCUCUGUGAACCAUUGCAUGUCCUCCUCGCGAAACUCCAAGCACCUCAACAAAUGAAGCUUCGCAGAUCCUACAAAUACUUUCUUUCUAAGCAGACGAGCAACCUCCAGAAAAACUCGCUCUUUUCCUGCAGUCAAGUGGUGAUUACAUGACAUGAUGCAUUGGAGAGAGAGAGAGAGAGAGAGAGAGAGAGAGAGAGAGAGAGGUACCAAUAGUGUAGCUACCAAUGAGAAAGAGAGUUUUUGGGUUGAACGACUCAGCUUGAAUGGCCUCAAUGACAAACUGUAUUACAACCUCUUGUUUUGGAAAGUCAUACUGCAUAGACGUGCCAUUACUAGCAAACACAGAUUCGAAAAUGAACUUGAAUAUAUAAAGAAAAUUAAAUGUAAAAAGCCCUUAAGAAAGGACAUACUUGAGGAUUACAGUAGGUUGUGUCGAGUAUGAGAGUGUGGAUACGACACGAUUGCAAUGCCGAGUAGCUAGCCAUCUCUGAAGAAAAUCUAAAGUCUCCAGUGUGCAGAACAGCCUAUGUAUCCAAACAAAAUCAGAAGCAUUUCAGAGGAUAUAACUGAGUUUCGUAAUAGAAUUAACAAGAUAAAGUUUGAGAAUAAAUGCCAAGAGAAAUUAAUACUAUGCCAUUCAGAAACUCAAAAAUAACUUACCUUACCAUUGGGUGGUUCGAAAAGAAUUAUGAUAGAUCCAGGGCAAUGGUUCGCAUCGAAGCAUGUCAAACUAACACCUGCAACAGUAAUCUUUUGGUUUAGAGGCAAGACUUGCAGCCUAUCCCCUGGCACACCGAUCUUGAGGUUUAUAAGGCGUGCUGUGAUUGAAGAGCAAUAGAUCUUUCCAUGACAGAAGUGUCUCGUCAAACCCUGGUAAUCUACAGGAUAAAGAAGAAAUGAAUUUCUUAUAAAGAAUCAUCCAGCAAUGUAUAGAGAGCAUUUUAAUAUAUGCCUCUCACCUGUCUUCCACUGUAAAGUGAAAAAAGCUUACCAUACCCUAGCACCAUUUCUAAUGUUAAAUUACUGUUUUGAAAUUGAAUGAACCAAUUUUGAAAUAAGAUCAACAAAUAUGAGACCUAAAGUGUGAUAGCAGAUCAAAUGGAGGUCGACUUUUCAAGCUUAAUUAAUGUAUAUCAGUGGCUGUCAUGAAGGAGAAUACUGGACUUACGGUCUAUAUGGAAGUGUGUUAGAAACCAGUGAGAACAGUCUCCUCUUAAAUAACGAAAUGCAUCCUGCAAUCACAAGAUAGUUAAUCAGCAAAGAAUAUGUAGGAUCCGGCAAACUUCAUAAAGAAGGGCCAGGAAUAAGACUGUUUGUCGAAUAGCUUUGUGAACUAUCUUUUAGGUAGACAAUGCAGCAUUAUCAGACAGUACUAUAUUACACUCAUUAUUCUUAGCAAUUAAUGCAAUUUAACAAACAUGCACAAAAAAAAGUAGAUAUCUGAUAACAAAUUGAAGAAAUUAAGACAAUAGGAAAAGAAAGAGAACAAUGUUUCAUUAAAGCAUGAGCUCUGAUCUAGACCUGCUGCUUCAGCAACAAAGAGCAGAAGUGGAGAGGAUCCUAAUAUAAUUUUCUUUCUAGAUGGCACUAUUCAAAGUCUCAAACAGCACUAAGCUGUACAGGAGGAUCAAACAUUCCUAAAUCUUAAUGAAGAUUUACGCAUAAUCUGUAUCAGGAAUGUGUUAAUAGCAAAUAAUCUCCUACAGUGUACCUUGGAGCCAAAAAAAAAAAAAGAAAAAAAAAAUCAUUUAGCAAGAAAGCCCACAAUAAUGAGAACAAUGGUUUAUUAAACAUGUCAUGCAAGUUUGCACAUUGAAGGAAAAGCCCAUUCUAUCAAACACAAUAGCAGAAUCACAAUAAAUGCGUUAAAUGCACUUGCGUACCAAUGCAAGGGUAGGGCAUAGAUAGGUUGUAUAGACUCAAUUCCAUAGUAAAAAACAGAUGACAUGGUCAGUACACGAAAUGAAUUAAAGCAUAAAACAAUUAGUUUAAAUCCUAGUAGGAAAAGAAAAAAAAAAAGAGGAUCAUGGAAAAGCAAAUUAUAAAUGCUUGACUAAAAUAUAAAAUGACUCAAACAUACCACUCGAAAUGGCGUCCCUGGAAUGCAACACCAAGGAGGUAUAUCUCUAACUUUACCUAUAUUUACACAUUUUCUACCUCUCUUUAUAGCUGAAUUCCUCUGGCUCUUCAUACCUGGGGGUUUGCUGACAGUGCAAAUCCUGUUUGUAUCAAUGACAGAACCACGAAAGUAUUCUGUUAUUAAUUUAUUCCCAGAAGAAAAUUUGGUGCACACAUUAGUUAUUUGAUUUGACGAAUUAGUAUCAACAUCUUCGGCAUGACAGUGUCUUUUACGCAACUCGCUGAGUGCAUGGAUAAUCUUCUUUCUAGGACCAAAUGCAUCAAUUCCUAUGUUCAGAAGAUCCUGUAAUAAUUCAGUAAGCCAAGACCAUCAAAUAACCAGCAUGACGAGAUGUAGAACCAUUUACAGAUGACAACUAUUAAUAAAUUGUUUGGUAACGGAUCUUAGAUCCACGGACUUCUUUAACACAAUAUGGCGCAUGAUCAAAAUUAUGGAGAAUAAACGCAGCUGAUGAGUAAUAUAUUGUACCUCUUCGGUUAGCCAUUGCAAAGUUUCCCAAUCAAUCUCUUCCCUCACAAAAACUUGCUCAUAUCUAGAUAAACCCAAGCUCCUCAGGAAUUCAAUAGCCGAGCUGGUGUCAACAUUGCCUUGAGGUAAUGUUGAUUUUGCUCCAGAUACUGAAUGAAUUGCCUACAAGAUACAUAUUAAUGGCCACAAACUGAAAUAUUAUAUUUUGGCUUAUUAUUUUUUGACUUCGCAACAAACUAUAAUGAAGAGGGCAAUACAAAGAAAUAAAUACAAUAUACUCAGAUAUAUCAACUCAGUAUUCAAAGAAAUAAACAACACAAUAUAUUCAAAUACAUCAGCUCAAUAUUCAUUCCAUAAACAAACAGAAACUAACUGAAAGACAUUGACAAACUAGUGCAAAUGCGCAUGCACACACCGCACACCGAGAGAGAGAGAGAGAGAGAGAGAGAGAGAGAGAGCCCAAAUGCCUAAAAUCUUCAACCAGUUGAUAGCUUAGGCUUCCCCCGGCAUAGCGCAUGGCAUUCCCAAAUAGUGCCAAUUUACAUAAUUACAUGAGUGAAAGAAAAAAAAUAGCAUAUAUAGAUUAGAGGCCCAGCGUAUUCAAUUGAGAUGAUUAGUUCUCUCUUUACAGGGCAUUUGGAUUGACGUAAUUGUAGUUCAGUUUUGGAAGCAGUAAAAAUAUUGGUCUUGUCAUCAACUAGCAUAAUACCGAAAAGAUUCACCAUCUAGUCAUAGGCUAGAUUUUUUAGUCUUUCUAUGAAAGAUGACUUAGGCCCAUUUUAAAGGGAAUUUAUUUUUAAGAAUAUAAACCCAUGGCUACCUACAGGAUUUUUUCAGUGCCUCAUGAUGGAUACCGAGACUAAUAUUUGUACUCUUAAUGAACUUGAUUUACGAUCGAAUUGCAACUUCAUCAAUCCAAACGCCCCCCCUUAAUGUAGGACCCAUGUUUCUGCAUAUAAUAUCAAAGCCACACCGAGGGACGUUACCAUGCAGUUCCCCAGUUGCACAUUUAAGUUAUACUCAGCAGAAGUAGGACAUGAAGGAUGAUCGCAACAGCAUAUUAUAGAAUCAUGAUCCUGAAAUCUCAUAUGGAAUCUAUAUUUAAAUUUUAGAAGAACUUGAACAAGUGAAAGCAUGUCGAAAGAGGUUGCAAGAGUAAACUACACAGCAAUUCUCACAAACUGAUUAACUAGGACAGCUCAAACCGAUGCAUUUAUCAAACCAGAUUUAAACUUAGUCUAAAAGUAUAAGCUGCAUUACAUAAUAGUUAAAAAACAAGGUUUUCAAAAACUGAGGAAAUUUCAACUCCAUAAAACAAACCUAGGAAUUAGUUGACACAAAUUGGCACUAAACAUGAUCCCAAAAAAGUCUGAUAUUGAUCACCCACAAAAAUGUAAACAGAAAUAGAUAAACCUGCCCAGAUUUGAACAAAAUCUCCAUAGUCAGACUAAAUAAGUUAAACUAGUAUUUAAUUUAUUCCGGAUAUUUUGGCAACCCCUUAAACUACUAUCCGUAAAACAGAGGGAAAAUAAAAAUCAUGAAUAAGGGCAAUGCCAAAAGUUAUCGGCUCAACAAAUUCUUUCAACUCUAAUUAAAGUUUUCAUGUGUAGCAUGUUUACGAAACGUAGUUGUAAAAAAAAUGCCUAGCCAAACUAACAAAAGAGCUGGUUGAGUUAAUCUACCCCUGAAGUUCCAUCUUUGUCCAGGCAAUCAUUGGUGUGAAUCUGCCGCUGUUCUUCACUCAAAUCUGAGAUAUCGAGUCCACACAACGGACAUUCCACUCGAUCACUCCACAGCAACUCAGAUGCUGCAACAUCCAGAUUACUCCUUUCAAGUACGGAGGCUUCGCGGUUCAUAUCGCCUUGGGCAUCCACCUCAGAGCAUAGAUUCAUCAAUUCAUUUAGCUGCGUGCCCGCCUCGGAAUCCUCGUCAGUAUUGCCUUCUGAGCAAUCACCUCCAUUUCUACAAGAAAUAGAAUUGGCUCUUGGUUCCAACAAUCUUGAUUCAAUAGACAUCAUGUAAUAGCUCCCCUUAGGAAUCUCACACUUACUCCCUUGUUUCUCCUCAUCAUCUGCUAAUUUUGAUGCUGUUGAUGUAAAAAGAAGUGAUUUUUCCUCCUUGUUACCAAUCCCACUCUCUCGUACUCUCCCAUAUCCCUCUAUUCGCGAUUGAAACGAUGCACGAACGACAGUUUCCUCGUCCUUUACACGAUUAUCAGAUGCAAAGCAGAAAAUAUCCCUCCGAUCCGUCGCCUCCCUCAACACUUCUCCAGAAAUCCUAGAAUCGACCUCUAGGGUUUUGGAUACCGCCCGAUUCUCCUUCCCCGGCGCAGGAGCUGGCUUCGCCCGCUUCUUCUUCGGGCGCGUGGCGUUGGACGGCUUCAAUGGCUCAGAUCUAGGGUUUCCGAGGGAGGAUAGCAAGAGACUCUGCGCGAAGGAGAAGGCCUCGCUAGGGUUUUGGAAAUCGUCGCCGUCGUCGCCGUCCUCGGAGAUCGCUAGGGUUACGGCUCGCGCAGGGUUUUGUGCCCUAGGUUUCGUCGAGGGUUUAGGGUUUGAGAGCAUUUUUAAUGGAGAGGAUACGGGGGAAGGGGAAGGAGAUGAGAGCUCACUAUGAGAGCAUUCGUAAAUGCUACCGGAGGGAAGAGGAAGAUGAGGGGUUUUUUACGAAAAUGUCCCUCUCGAUAAUUAUAUUUGUUGCUCAGGACCUGGUUGGUUGUGUGGCAUGCAAAGCUAUUUGCUUAGUAACUUUGGAAAUAUAUAUAUAUAAUAAUAUAUAGGGUAGUGCUACUAUGCUAUCCGAAGUAUCUAAUGCUUCCAAUUUUUUAACCAUUAGAUAAAAAAUUAUACGGUUGGGAUGAUUGCCAUCCCUCAGGGUUGAGUAGUACCCGUAGGGUUAAGUGAUCCCCACAGGUUAAUAGUAUUAAUCCAACAGUUAGAAAUGAUUAAAGGGAUUGAUAUAAGGGCUAAAAAUUCGGAAGCACCAGAUCUUCUAUACUUCCGAUAGCAUAAUUGCAAUACUCAUAUAUAUAUAUAUAUAUAUAAUAUAUAUAUAUAUAUUAUAUAUAUACUAUAUAUAAUAUAUAUAUAUAUAUAUAUAUGAAUUGAGCUUUUUAUGCUUUAAAAAUACCAAGUUAUUGGUGCUUGUAAAUUUUUAGCGCUUGGAUUAAUAGAUUGUGCGGUUAGGAUGAUGUGAGCCCCCUUGGUUUAGUAGGUGGUUGGUUGAAUAGUAUAAUCUAACGGUGAAAAUGAUCAAAAACGUAGAAUCUAACAGUAAAAAAUUCACAAGCACCAAGUGCUUGGUGCUUUUACAAGCCCAUAGCCGGACUCUCUCCCCCUCUAAUAUAUAUAUAUAUAUAUAUAUAUAUAUAUAUAUAUAUAUAUAUAUAUAUAUAUUGUAUUAAAAUUAUUCUUAAUAAUUAUUAAAAAAAAAAAAAAAAAACUGAAAUUUAGCACUUUUGUAAUAUAAUUCAUAACUUUUCGUUUGCAAAUAGGCCCUCCAAAUUUUAUUAAAUAGUUUAAUAGGUACCUAUGCCUGACAAAGUUAUUAAUUAAUAGCCAUUUUAAUCGCAUAUCUUACACAUAAUUUUUAUACUUCAAACCAUAGAGAAAUUUUUUUUUUCUUUAUUUCAAUAAUUAACUAUCAGAAUGAAAAUAUAGUAAAUCUAUCUUGCAAUUUAUUGCUUUUUCUUGUGUUAGAAAAGAAAAAUAUAUAUAUAUUUUUUUGUAUUUAAAGUUGGCCAAUUUGCAUAAAAAUCCACUUAUUUGGGCUUUUGCAAAACCGGCAACCUUUUUUGUUUUUGCAGAUUGGUCCACUUUUUCAGCAAACUGACAAUACCCUUUUUACUUUUCUCUUUCCUCUUUCUUCCUUUCUCCUCUUUCGUUUCUCUCGUCUUUUUUUUUCUCGCCGCAGAGCGGAGGCGAAACGGUCCGUCUCCGCUCUCACCCUCAUUCUCUAGCCCUGCCUCGCCCUCGCCUCCGCCACGCACGCCACCAUUCCUCGCCUCCAACCUCGCUAAGGCGCGCGCACGACUUUUUUUUUUUUGCUUUUUUCUUUUCUUUUCUUCUCCGACUCUUCUCCACCGUCUCCGACGACGAUGCCUCCUCGUCCUUCUCGUCCUUCCCGCCCUUCUCAUCUCUCCCUGUCCUCAUUCUCUGCCGCCUCCGACGACGAUGCAUCUUCGCCGGCGCCGACGUCGACACCCGUGGAGGUCACUACGACGCUACAGGCUCGGAGCGGGGGUCCUUAGCGUGUUGUCGCCGGUACCUCGUGCUGUUGGCAGAGAAGGUGACAAAAAAAAUUAUAGAAAAACAGAAAAAAUAAAGAUAAAAAAUUAUAUAAAAAAAAGGAUAACAUCAAUUGUAUCGUUAACGUGCAAAAAAAAUUAUUAAGUUGCACUAUUUAAGUGUAAACUGCAGCCUUAAGAUGAAAACACACUCUUUAAACGAAAAUUAAACUCUUUGAGAAAUAAUUUACACUGUUUUCUUCUUAUUACACCUUUCAGAUGUAAACUGCAUCCAUUAAGAUGAAAGUUACACUCUUUAAACAAAAGUUGCACUGUUUCUCUUGUUGCACCAUUUUUUCCUCUUGUUAGCUAUUUUUUAUCUUAAACUGCACCAUUUUAAGAGAUAUUUAUACUGUUUCUCCUCUUGUUGCACUAUUUCUGCCGUAAAAUAGAGAAAAUAGUGCAACAAAGGAGAAACAGUGUAAGAAAGAGAAACUGCACUGUUUUAAGAGAUAUAUAUACUGUUUCUCCUCUGUUGCCCAUUUCUGUGUAAAUAAGAGGAGAAAUAGUGCAACAAGAGAGAACUCACUGUUUAAAGAGAUAUAUCUACUGUUUCUUCUCUUGUUGCACUGUUUUUCCUCUUGUUGCACCAUUUCUGUGUAAACAAUAGGAGAAUAGUGCAACAAGAGGAGAAACAAUGCAAUAAGGGAGAAACUGCACCCUUUUAAAAGAUAUUUAUACUGUUUCUCCUCAUGUUGCACUGUUUCUCCUCUUGUUCACCAUUUAUGUGUAAAUAAGAGGAGAAUAUGCAACAACAAGGAGAAACAGUGCAACAAGAGGAGAAACAGUAUAAAUAUCACUUAAAAGGAUGCAUUUAAGAUAAAAAAUAUGUAUAAUUUUUCGUUCAAAGAGUAUAAUUUUUAUCUUAAAGCAGCAGUUUACAUCUUAAAUAGUGCAACUUAUAAUUUUUUUGUAAUUAACGAUGUAAUUUCAUCUCAUCAUUCUUUUUAUAUAAUUUUUAUCUUAAUUUUUUUCUGUUUUUUUCUAUAAUUUUUUUGUCACUUCUCUGCCAACAGCUACCGGCGGCCGUGACGACGCCGCUAAGGACCCCCGCUCGAGGCUGUAGCGCGCAGUGACCUUCUACAUUGCGUACGUCGCGCCGGCGAAGAUAAAUCGUCGUCGGAGCGGCAGAAGAUGAGGAGAGGGAGAGAUGAGAAGGGGGGAAGGGCGAGAGCGUCGUCGUCGAGACGUUGGAGAAAGUCGGGAAAGAAAAGAAAAAGAAAAAAGAAAAAAAAAAAAAGUCGCGGCGCGGCCUUAACGGGGUCGGAGGCGAGGAAGGUGGGGGUGCAUGGACGAGGGCAAGGGCGAGGGCGAGAGCAUGAGGGUGAGAGGCGAGACGGACCGUUUCUGCCUCCGCUCCGCCUCCGCUCUACCGGUGAGAAAAAAAAAAAAGAACGAGAGAAACGAAGAAGAGAGAGAAAGAGGAAAGAGAAAAAGUAAUAAGGGUAUUUUGAUCAGUUUGCUGAAAAAGCGGACUGAAUCUAUAAAAAUGAAAAAGGUGGCCCGAUUUUGCAAAAGCCCAAAAUAAGUAGAUUUUUUAUGCAAAUUGGCCUUUAAAGAUUUGCAAGAUUAUAUGCAAUACAACCAACAAAAACGGCUAUAUAAUAGUAACUUCGGUUAAAAUAGUUGAUAAAGUUUAUAGAGGUUUAAUUGCCAAAGUUAAAAAGUUCAAGUUUACUUGCGAAAGUGGUAAAGAUCAGGGGGUCUUUAUAAAUAGGGUUAACUGCAUAUAAUCUCUCGGCAAACAUAACGAGUUGUAAUAUAUUCUUAUAAAGUUCAACUUUCUUAUGUUAUUCCUGUAAAAAUCCAAUGAUAUUUAUAUUUGUCCUUGUGGUUUGUUUUUUUUAGAGAAUUGUUUAUUUUUUAACAGCAUAUAAGUGAAAUAUCAAUUUUGUCAUCACAAACAUAUCCCUCCAAAAGCCCCAACUGUUGUAAUCGUGUAGAAAUAUGUUCCUAAAAAAUUUUUAAUGAUCAUCUUCUUCCUCUUUAAAAUCCAACCCAAUCCACUAUUAUUACAACCUCUUCUCUUACUCAUUUUCUCCUAAAUCUUUUCUUUUUAGCAAAAUAAGAAAAAUUAUAAAGUAAAUUGAAUAUAGAAACAACAAGCAUUUAACAUGGGCAAAGCAAUAUGCAUCGUGAAUGAAUGGGAUAGAGAAAUUCUAGUUACGGAUUCGAAACUAGCAUGAAGGAGAGAGAGAGAAAGAGAAAGAAAAGCAGAAUUUUUAUUACUAAAGUUUUGAUUGAGAGAAGAAAGUAUAAUAUAAAAGGGUAAAAUGUCAAUUUAUCUUAUUGACUAAUCAAAAUUAAGUAUUUUACAUAUAGUUAACUAAAAUUUUCUAACGGAUCCUAACGACAAGGGCAUAUUUGAAAAUAUUAUAACUUUUAUAGGAAUAAUAUAAAAAAGUUGAACUUUCAUAAAUAUAUUUGCAAUUUGUUAUAUUUACAUAGAGUUAUAUACAAUUAACCCUUGUAAAUAUAUCCUAUUUCUUCUUACAGUGCUCCUAGGUGUGCAAGGCUAAUAGGGUUCUAAUCUUACAACUUAGCCCAUCUAAAGGCUACAAUUAACACACUAGUUUUAUCUUUUUUUUUCUUUUUAUUUUUGCACUAAAAAUAAAUUUAAAAAAAAAGAUUGUUUACACCCUUAAACAGUUGAAUAAGUGGAUUAGGGAUUUUAAAAAUUACAUUUAAAUUGUAGACCUAGCAUACCUCUUUCUAUUAUUAGUAAAGAGCAUUAGAUUAGAGCUUCGGAUUCUUAUUUUCAAUUUCCGCUACAAUAAAAGCACCUAUUUUCAUUUUUUUUGUUUACCAAAUCCUCGACUAAAAUUAGUUUUGAUGAAAAUAGAAGCCGAGCUAAAUAAGCAGUUGCAGCUGCUCAAGAACUAAGCAAAUGCUAUAACCAAUUUUAUUAGAGAGCCUAACAAUCAAAUUGGUAGAAAUUUUGGUUCGCACUAAACCAAGUGAAAAUAUGAAAAGUAUUUAGAAAUCAAGUUAAAUGUCUCCAUGACGAUGAAUACAUCUACAGGUUUGACACAUUUGUCAUGAAUUUCUUUCUUUAAUCUAAUCAAAUUUUGUUGAGAAUCAUAGUUAGUUAAUUCGAAUUCGAUAAAAAUUCGAUAGGUUAUACUACGAAUAAAAUUUGUACCCUAAUUUUUAAAUUCGUUAAAAAAUACGGCUUAAAAAAUGGAUUCGCCAAUUAUUCGAAUACGCAGUUUAUAUAAAAAUUAUACGUUCAUCAAUUAGAAAUUCGGGAUAAAAAAUUCGGCUAUUAAAUUAAACUUUUUUUUUAGAUUUAUGCUACUAGCAUAAAUAGUUAUAAUUUUUAAAAAUAUAAAUUAAAGAGCUACAAAAUAAAAUAGAUUAAUUAUUAUACACCAAGAUAUAUAAAUAAUUAAACAAGAAAAAGAUUAAGAUGGUCCAUAAGUAAACAUAAAAUAUAUAAUUUUUUUUUUUAGGGCGAGAGAAUAGAGAAUUCAUACUUAAACAUAAAUAUAGGAUAGUCCAUACCUAAACAUAAAAAAAAUAUAAAGUUUUUUAUUCGGAUUUUUAAUAAUUUAUGAAUAAUUUGUGAAUAAUUCACGAAUAAUUUGGCUAGCCUAAAAAAUUCUCGUUUUAUUCCCCUUUUUAGGAAAAAUUCGCAUGCGAACUACUUUAUUCAGAUUUUUAAUAAUUCGCAAAUAAUUUGCGAAUUAACUAAGAGAAUUGAGAAUCCAUUAUAAUGUCACUGCAUUCAUCUACUCUGGCAAGUAGGAUUGAUUUCAACGAGUUAUGAUUUACUAAUAACCACCGUCUAAAAUAAUCGAUUGUUAUUUGGAAUGUCUAUUUUUAGGGUGUGCAAGUUCGAACCAUAGUAAUGCAGUUCAGAAAAUAUAAGGAUUAAAAAAAAAAAAAAAGAAAGAAAAGAAAAGAAGAAGAGAAAUUCCGACAGAUUUGAACCUACUGCAUCUGUGAAUAUGCCGUAAGUCCCAAGUGCGGAAAUGUCUGAAUAUGUGACUGUGUUAAAUUGAGAACUAAUAAUUGGUUCUCAAGACCGACUGUCCCUAGAGCAAGUGGCAAAGGACUUGGUGGUUGGUACCCUAGACUCAUGUUCAAAUCCUAGUUGAUUCACUUUUCUAGCUAAGUUUACUUCUAAAUGAAAUAAACGAAACGGAUAGCGUGCUACCUAUCUCUCUCAAAAAAAAAAAAAAAAAAAAAAAAAAAAAGUUCUCAAGAGAAAUGAAUUUUAAAUCUGUCUAGGUUUUGGGUCAAAUUAAAUACGCACUUAGGCCCGGGCCCAUUGUCAAAUUUUUACAUCUAUUAUUAGAUUUGGGCUGGUCUGAAAUGAUCAGAUCACCUGGGCUUGAUUAGGUCUGACUCACUGGCCACCAGUUUCGCAAUUGAGUACAGAUAUGGGUGACUUAAAAGUGAAAAAGCACAUUCAUCACUUAAGUUUCAUACAAGCAGAUGGAGACAAUAAGGGCAUGUUUGGUUCAGCUAUUUUAGACGAUGGAAUCGGAAUGAGAUUAAUUGAUUUUGAUAGUUGUUAUUUAUUUUAUAGGAAUUGGAUUUCGAUUUAUGACUCGUUCAGGCUUUGAAUUUCGAAUUGGCCCCUUCCAAAAUAAACUACUCAACAUUCUCUUUCACCAACACCUUCCCUCCUCUCCCUUCAUCACUUUCCUUCCUCUUAAUUAAAGCCCUUUCUCAAAAAUUCUAGAUUUUCAUUGCAGUAAUGAACCAAACAUUUUUGGAUGAUUUUUCAUUCUAUUUUCCAUUUCAAAGCAAUCUAAUUCUAUUCCUCGUUCCUAUUCCAAUCAUAAACCAAACAUGCCCUUAAGGGUGCGUUUGGUUCGAGUUAUCCUGGCAGGAUUACAGGCAAUCCUGCCAGGAUAACUGUGUUUGGUUAAUCCGCUAUGUAAUCUAGUCGUUAAUGUAGCAUUACAAAUCGAGCAGAAUUACAUCGAAAAUAUUAACGGGAGGGGGGUCGUGUAUCUUGCAUUACUAAAAUCCGUUAAUACUACAUAUUAUGUAAAAUGACAAUUUUACCCUCCAACAACCCAAAUCUAAUUAACAGUAUUAUUUUCAUCUCUCUGUCGCCUUCCCUCCUCUCGCUCUCUCUCUCUCUCUCUCUCUCGCGCGCACGCGUACGAACACCUAUCAUCUUCUAUUGCGUCGUCCUCCCAGGUAAUCAUCAUGAUCUUCUUCCCUCCAUUUGUCAUUUUCGCAAAAAAUAAUAUUCAAAUGACCACAACAAGGAUAAUUUUGAAAAAAACUAUACUUUUAUGUCAGGAUUACUAAAUUUUAAAAACUGAACCAAACGUAUUAAUGCUAUAAACAGUGUAAUCUAGUAUUACAUUACUGCAUUAAACCAAACGCGUUAAUACGGCAUCAGUAGUAAUCUUACGUCGAAAUCCAAGAUGCCUGGAUAUGUCGAGAUACUUUGUAAUAUUACAUAACUCGAACCAAACGGGCCCUAAGUGUGUGCUGCUUGUACUGCUUUGUACAAAAAUGAUCAUAACAUAUUCUUGCCAAGAGAUUAUAGAUUUAAGACAUGUUUGGUUCACCUAUUUUAGAAUAUAGUUGGAAUGAGAUUUAUUGAUUUUAAUAUUUGUUGUUUAUUUUACAAGAAUCGAAUUUUGAUUCCUAUUUCACUCUGAAAUGAAAAUGGCCAAAUCCAUUUAUAACCUAAUUCGGCUUUGAAUCCCAAAUUGAUCCAUUCCAAAGUAAAUUACUUAAAAUUCUCUCUCAUAAACAUCUUCCCCUCCCUUCCCUUCAUCACUCUUCUCUCUCUCUUAAUCAAAACUCUAUUUCAAAAUCCUAAAUUCUCAUUCCGAUUUCCAAUUCAAUAAUAAAAAAAAAAAAUUUAGAUGAUUCAUCAUUCUAUUUUCUAUUCCAAAACGAAUUUUAUUUUCUAUUCCUAUUCCAAUCGUAAACCAAACAUGCCUUUAAUUCCCACUAGAGAUGCUAAUAGAUCGGUUUAGAUGAAUUUUUAAAAAUUUGGAUCCAAAUUCAAAUUCGAUAAUCAAAUCAAAAUUCAAAUUCGAAUCCGAAACCCAUCGGGUUUCGAAAAUUCAUAUGCAGAACUAAACCCGAUUAAAAAUUCGAAACCUAAACUCGAACCACGAACCCAAAAUAGUCAUUUUUCUUUGGCUAAAUUAUAUAAAAUCUCCCUGUCAAAACCCAAAUUUUCACUUUUUUUCAUGUCAUUUAAAAACCUAUAUUUUGUCCCCUUGUAAAAUAAAAAAUAGUCACAGGGGGUACAGUGUAAACUGUGAUGACAAAAUGACCAUUUUGCUCCUCACCAUUUUUGGUAACAGGAGAGAAGGCUGAGGGUAUUUUUGGCAUACAAAAAUAUAAAAUAAUAUUUUAUAAACAGAACCCUAACGGAUCACUAACGGCAGGGGGGUGAAAUAAAUAUUUUUUAUUUUAUAAGGAGGCAAAGUGUAGGUUUUUAAAUAACAGAGAGGGAAAGUGAAAAAUCGGGUUUUGACAGGUAGAUUUUUUAUAAUUUAGCCUUUUUCUUUACCAUAUUUUAAAAUAUAUUUAUUAAAAUUAUAAAUUUAAAUAUUAUAUUAAACAUUCAUAUGUAUAUAUAUAGAGAGUGCAGUUACUAUACUCUUAUGAAUAUAGUAGCUGUUGUACUCAUAAGUUUUUAAUCAUCAAAUUUGCUUCAAUAUCUGUGCAGAUCUGAUAGCUUAUCAAACUAAAUUAACUACCCCCAGUUAACUCCAUUCAACCAAGUUAACUCUUAAUUAAUUUCUCCUCCAACAACCCAACCUUCCCCGACCACACCUACUAGGGUGCGGCACGGCCGACAUUUGCUGUGCCGAUUCGGGGUCUUCGCCUUCCACCCAACAAGCUUGGCUUGGAUUUUGUCCCAUAGGGGCUGGCAGUGUGUGGUGCUGGGCCGGAGCUACCAAGCCUUCGGCCUAGCACAUCCGCGGAAGGCCCGGUGUCGGGCCGGACCAUGCUCGGGGUCGAGCCCCUAAAAGGUUUUAUUUUUUUAGAAAAUAUGUAAAAUUUAAAAUAUAAACAAUAAAUUAUUUCUAUGUAAAUUAAUAUUUUGAUUAAAAAUUUAAAAUUUAUAAAAAUAAUUAUAAUAUAACAAAUAUUUAAUUUUUUCUAAUAUAUAUAUAUAUAUAUAUAAUUUUUUAUUUAAAAAAAAUUAAGAGCGUUUUUUGGUCCAAUCCAUUGGACCAAAAAGCUCCUCCCAAGGUCUGCGGUGAAAGACCUUUGGAGGAGAGCUCCUGGCCCUUUUACCUAGAAGCUCAAACCCUAAGACUGCCUUGAGCCUUGUCGUGUCAGGUCAUCGGGCCCAACAGGAGAGGCCCAACAUGGCCCUGAAGCUCGGGUCGGGCUAGGUCGGCACGGGUGCCACUGCACUCGUGCCGUACUACAGCCUAGCUCGAGGUCAUGCCGGGCCAGGCAAUCCGUACGGCCUCACCACCCAGCCCAUUUUACAUCCCUAGUUGCACUUGCACCACCCUUCUCCUUGGCCUAUGGCAUGGCCGCACUCUUGGUUGAGGGCGCCGGCACAUCAGACCUCCUCCCUCCUGGCCACCCACGCCGACACCACCGUAGAGAGAGAAAGAGAAAGAGAGUCCUACGGUGCUUUUAAAAGCACCGAGUAUUUGGUGCUUGUAAGGUUUUCACACUGUUAGAUUUAUCCCCUUGACUAAUUUCAUCCUUUUGAUCAUACUAUUUCACCAACUACCCACUUAAUCCUAGAGAUUAAUAUCAUUUUAACUCUAUAAAUUUUCGUUCAAAGACAAAAAAAUUAUAAGCAUCAAUAACUUAACACUUUUACAAGGUUUAUUCUUUUUCUUUUUGGAUGUGUAAGGAAGGACAAAAUUGAUUAUUUUACACAUUAAUCAUAAUUAAGUUAUUUGGUUCAACUUUACUUAUGGUUCAACA
RNAcentral lists this long non-coding RNA (47494 nucleotides) under Ananas comosus (pineapple). Its description in RNAcentral is "long non-coding RNA (ACOM_LNC003971)". The record is from RNAcentral. Lineage: Eukaryota; Viridiplantae; Streptophyta; Magnoliopsida; Poales; Bromeliaceae.